Molecule: long non-coding RNA, 47101 nt
Filed under: Ananas comosus (pineapple)
Lineage: Eukaryota; Viridiplantae; Streptophyta; Magnoliopsida; Poales; Bromeliaceae
Description: long non-coding RNA (ACOM_LNC019434)
Source: RNAcentral
UAUCUAGAGCAUUUGAAACAUCUAGAAAUCAAAUUUCAUAAUUUUUCGACAUCAUUUACCUUACGAUCAAAAGCUCACAAAAUUGACUAUUUUUAACGGCCGGUAUGGAAUACUUGCUAGUUUAAUAGUGCAAAAGAAUCCGAAUAGGUUGAAUUUUUGAUAGAAAAUUCUAUUCACUACCUCGAUAAAGAUCAAUAACUCCGAUCUUAAAUUGAAGGAUUCGAUCAUCCAUUUUUAAGACAUCGUUCGAUUUUGACCGUUCAUUUUAUGCUUGCUUGAUGGACUUUAUUAUGAUUUCGAAAAAUUACGAAAUUUAUUUUUUAGAAGUUUCAAAUACUCUAGAUCAUGUUUAACGGAGUGGAUCGUCAAUUCGGAAGCUCCAUCAUCGAAAACAACUUAUGAGUACGAAGGGCCCAAUACUCAUAAUAGUAUAGUAGCCCUACUCUCUCUCUCUCUCUCUCUCUCUCUAUAUAUAUAUAUAUAUAUAUAUAGAGUCCGGCUACUAUACUGUUGUGAGUACGAUCGCCUUCGUACUCAUAAAUCGUUUUCGAUUAUAAAGUUUCCGAAUCGACGAUCCAUACCGUUAAACGUCAUCUAGAGCAUUUAAAACUUCUAGAAAUCAAAUUUUAUAAUACUUUGACAUCAUUUACCUUACGAUCAAAAAAUCUCAAAAUUGAUAAUUUUUAAUGGUCGGUAUAGGAUACUUGCUAGUUUAACAAUGUAAAAGAAUCGGAAUUGGUUGAAUUUUUGAUAAAAAAAAUUUAUUCACUAUCUAGAUAAAGAUCAAUAACUCCGAUCUUAAAUUGAAGGAUCCGAUCAUCCAUUUUUAGGACGUCGUUCGAUUUUGACCAUUCAUUUUAUGCCCGCUUGAUGGACUUUAUUAUGAUUUCGAAAAAUUAUGAAAUUUAUUUUUUAGAAGUUUCAAAUACGCUACAUCAUAUUUAACGGAGUGGAUCCUCGAUUUGGAAGCUCCAUUAUGGAAAACAACUCUAUACUCAUAAGAGUAUAGUAGCUCUACUCUCUUUCUCUCUCUAUCUAUCUAUCUAUAUAUAUAAAUAUAUUAUAGGCUAGGGUUACUAUACUUUUAUGAGUAUAAAUCCCUUUGUACUCAUAGGUUUUCGACUGUUGGAUGAAGGGAUAUGCGGUUAAGAUGAUAGUGGUCGCCGAUUAGGAUGAUAGUGGAUCCCUCGGAUUGAGUAGGUGGUUGGUUGGUUGAAUAGUAUGAUCUAAUGGGUGGAAAUGGUCAAAAUGGUAGAUGUAAUAGCUGAAAAUUUAUAAGUAUAAAGGGGUCUAUGCUCUAUACUCAUAAGAGUAUAGUAGUUGGACUCUAUAUUAUGUGUCUAUAUAUAUAUAUAUAUAUAUACGAGUUGAGCUGGAAUACUAUUAAUAGUAUUUGGGCUAUUUUACUAUCGAUUUUUUAGCCGUUAGAUCUACACUUUGAUCAAUUUCAUCCUUUAGAUCAUACUAUUCAACUAAGCACCUACUCAACCCUAGGGGGACCACUACUAAACCCUAGGGGAUGACUAUUAUCCUAACACUACAAUUUUUUUAUCUAAAUGUUAAAAACUGGAUAGCAAAAAAGGUCAAAUACUAUUAAUAGUAUUCUAGCCCAAUUCUGUAUAUAUAUAUAGGGUAAAGUUCAAAUACCAGCAUUGUAGUUUCGCACUUUCUCACUUUAGUACCCUGUGGUUUAAAGUGUAUCAAGUUAGUGUCAUGUGGUUUCAUUUUUAUCUUUCGUCAGCUUUUCCGUUAAUAUUUUGUUAAAUUAUAUAUAAAAAAUUUCAGAUUCCCCACCUAGGUUUAUCAAAUAUUCACUUUAGUACUCUUUAGUUUUAACUUUGUCACUGAUUUAACAACAAAAAUUAGUGAAAUCGAUAAUAAAAAGAUAAAAAUGAAACUGCAGGGCACUAAAUUGAUACACUUUAAACCACAGGGUACUAAAGUGAGAAAGUGUGAAACCAUAGGGGUGGUAUUUGAAGUUUUCUCAUAUAUAUAUAUAUAUUACAUAUAUGAGUUAGGCUGGUAUACUAUCGGUAGCACGAAGAUCUACAUACUACCAAGUUGUUUUCAAUGAUGUAGCUCCCAAAUCAACGAUCGACUCCGUUAGACUUUAUUUGCAUUAUCGAAAGUAUUUGGAAACUAAAUUUCAAAUUUCGACAUCAUUUACCUAGUCUAAAAAUGAAUGCCUAGAAAUAAAAAUCUCAUAAAAGAUGAUGAUAAAAGACUUGAAUUUAAUAUCAGAGGUAUUGAUCUUACACUAAAUAGUGAAAAAAUUUUCUAUAAAAAUUUCAUCAGAUUUGGAUUAUUUUACACCGUUAAAUUCACAAACGCAUCACAUCGACCAUUAAAAUUGUCAAUUUUGAGACCUUUUGAUCAUUAGCCAAAUGAUGUCGAAAAUUAUAAAAUUUAGUUUUCAAAUACUUUUAAUAGUGUAGAUCAAGUCUAACGAAGCCGAUCGUCGAUUUGGAAGCUGCAUCAUUGGAAACAUCUUGAUAGUACGGAGGCCUCCGUGCUAUCGAUAGUAUACCAGUCUAGCUAUAUAUAUAGUAUAUAUAUAGAGAGAGAAGGCUGCUAUACUCUUAUGAGAAUAGAGCCCUUCGUACUCAUAAGUUGUUUUUGAUGAUAGAGCUUCUGAAUAGAUGUUCUACUCCGUUAAAUAUGAUUUAGAGUGUUUAAAACUUUUAAAAAAUAAAUUUCAUAAUUUUUCGAAAUCAUAAUAAAGUCCACCAAGCGGGCAUAAAAUGAACGGUCAAAAUCGAACGAUGUCCUAAAAAUGGAUGAUCGGAUCCUCCAAUUUAAGAUCGGAGUUAUUUAUCUUUAUCUAGAUAGUGAAUAGAAUUUUCUAUCAAAAAUUCAACUGAUUUCGCUUUUUUUACAUUGUUAAACUAGCAAGAAUCCCGUACCGGUCGUUAAUAUAUAUAUAUAUAUAUAUAUAUAUAUAUAGAGCUAGGUUGCUAUACUAUCAAUAGCACAGAGACCUUCGUGCUACUAAGUUGUUUUCAAUGAUGUGGCUUCCAAAUCGACGAUCGGCUCCGUUAGACUUGAUCUACACUAUUAAAAGUAUUUGGAAACUAAAUUUUAUAAUUUUUCGAUAUCAUUUGGCUAGUGAUCAAAAGGUCUCAAAAUUGACAAUUUUAAUGAUCGAUUUGAUGCGUUUGUGAAUUUAACAGUGUAAAACAAUCCAAAUCUGAUGAAAUUUUUAUAGAAAAUUCUUUUCACUAUUUAGAGUAAGAUCAGUACCUUUGAUCUUAAAUUCAAGUCUUUUAUCACCAUUUUUUAUGAUAAUUUUAUUUUUAGCCNUUUUUUUACCGUUAGAUCUACGCCUUUGAUCAUUUUCAACCGUUAGAUUAUACUAUUCAACCAACCACCCACUCAACCCUAGGGGGAUCACAUCAUCCUAACCGCACAUUUCUUAAUCCAAUGACCAAAAAUUUACAAGCACCGAUAACUUGAUACUUUUAAAGCAUAGGAGCUCAAUUCUGUAUAUAUAUAUAGAGAGAGCAGGACUGCUGUGCUCUUAGGAGCACGGAGGCCUCCGUGCUCCUGAGCCGUUUUCGAUGAUGGAAUUUCCGAAUCAACGAUCGUCUCCGUUAGGCUUGAUCUAGCGUAUUUGAAGUUUCUAGAAAAUAAUUUUUGCGAUUUUUCGAUAUUAUUAACCUAGCAAUCGAAAGGAUUCAAAAUCAAUAAUUUUUAACGUCUGAAAAUAAAAAUCCUAUAAAAAGUGAUGAUGUAGCACUAAAAUUUUCGAUCAAAAAUAUUGAUUUUGUUGUAGAUAGUAUAAAGAAUUUUGUAUCAAAAUUUCAUUUGAUUUGAAUACUUCUACACCGUUAAACUUGAAAACGGCAGAUAUCAACCAUUAAAAAUUAUUGAUUUUGAAUCCUUUCGAUCACUAGGUAAAUGAUAUGAAAAAAACACAAAAAUUAUUUUCUAGAAACUUCAAAUACCCUAGAUCAAGUCUAACGGAGCCGAUCGUCGAUUUGAAAAUUCCAUCAUUGAAAACGGCUCAGGAGCACGGAGGCCUCCGUGCUCCUGAGAGCACAGCAGCCCUGCUCUCUCUAUAUAUAUAUACAGAAUUGAGCUCCUAUGCUUUAAAAGUAUCAAGUUAUCGGUGCUUGUAAAUUUUUGGUCAUUGGAUUAAGAAAUGUGCGGUUAGGAUGAUGUGAUCCCCCUAGGGUUGAGUGGGUGGUUGGUUGAAUAGUAUAAUCUAACGGUUGAAAAUGAUCAAAGGCGUAGAUCUAACGGUAAAAAAAUUUAUAAGCACCAAGUGCUUGGUGCUUUUACAAGCACCAUAGCCGUACUCAUAUAUAUAUAUAUAUAUAUGUAUAUAUAUAUAUAUAUAUAUAUAUGUGUAUAUAUAUAUAUAUAUAUGUGUAUAUAUAUAUAUAUAUAUAUAUAUAUAUAUAUAUAUAUAUAUGUGUGUAUGUAUGUAUGUAUGUAUGUACUUGCAAAUAGUCGUAAAAUCUGAAAUUUCAUCUAUAAUCCUUGAAAGAUGCAUUUUUUUUCAUUCUUAAAUAUUUGGUCGGGAAGUCAUGUGUUAGUAGUAUUCUUAUGAAAGAAGGUUCAAUGGGCGUUUUUGUAUGUACAAGGGUAUUUAUAUGUACCGAAUAUUUAUUUUUUUGAAGAACCCAUGUAAAAUCAAAUUUGCAAGGCGAUAUAUUUAAAUAGAUAAUUUCCAUGCUAUACAUGUAAAUUUCUCUUUUUUCGUGUGUGCCUUCUAUAAUUUUUGUGUGCCCUGUAGGGCUUGAAGAACUUCAGUAAAACUGCACGAGAACUAAUUGUGCGGCUGCAGAAGAUUGACAAUGAUAACUACCCUGAGGUUUGCGAAUUCUUUUUUCCUAUUCUAUGGACUUAAUGGACACAAGAUUGUUAUUGAAGAUAAUUCUUACAAGAAUAACUAUUCGUGCAGACAUUAUACCGAAUGUUCAUCGUUAAUGCUGGCCCAGGAUUCAGGCUUUUAUGGAACACUGUGAAGUCUUUCCUCGAUCCAAAGACUACUUCGAAGAUACAUGUAGGCAAUUGUGAUCUAACCGUGAAGUUCAGUUUUUUCUCUUGAAUUUCUGAGAAUGUAAAUUGAAUUACUUCGCAAUUUUCUUUUUCAGGUCCUUGGGACCAAAUUCCAAAGCAAGCUGGCUGAAAUAAUUGAUUCCAGGUUGGUGCCUUGAAAAUUUUGCAUGAUAUAUGUAUAUGCCUUUUGAAACUUAAUUUCUUGCAUUACUGACCCUUGCUUUACAAGAAAAUUUUGCCUCUAUUUUACUUUUUUCUUGAUAACUUUCAGCUUUCCUCCAUGAAUUGGAUAUUUCCCAACUUAGAUGUAAGAGAUUUCAUUUUCAAUGGCCAUACAUGAGAUUCCAGAUUUUAUAGUGGUGCAUAGUAAAUAGUUGACUUUUGUGCGAAUAUAUAUAUAUAUGUAAAAGCCCUCAAUUUUGUUUCAUGAUUAACACCUUUCCUUUUGUAAAUUUAUUCAGUGAGCUUCCGGAAUUUCUUGGUGGUUCUUGUACUUGUCCCGAACAUGGAGGAUGCCUUAAGGCAGAGAAAGGCCCUUGGAAGGACCCAAACAUAUUGAAGGUUUCUGUUUGUUAACCAUCUCUUUUUUACUUAUACAUAUUAUAUUCUCAAUUUUGUCUUUUAAUUUUAAGGAAUUUUUGCUGUUAUAUGUAGAUGGUCCUUUGUGGUGAAGCACAAUAUGGUAGGCAAAUUGUAACUGUAUCCAAUGGCGAGGGAAAAAUCAUUGCUUAUGCUAAACCACAAUACACAGGAGUAAGACUUCGUACAAUCCUUUUUCUUUUUUAACUUAUUUCCCUAUUGAAAAUAAGUUGCUAAUGAAUGAAAACUGCUAUUUUGUAGAAAAUGAUUCACAUAUUUUUUUUAUUUCACAAAUGUACCCACUUUUUUCAGUUUUAGAAUUUUUGGACCAAAAUUUUUCUGUGGACCAAGAUGCCCCUAACUGAAAUACCUGAUGCAUGCAAUUAAUUUUAGUCUAUACAGAAAGAUUUUUUUUGAAAAUGUUAGCAGCAGAGGAAGUGGAUUAGACUGCUUAAUUAAGAGAAACCUAUUGGUUGAUUUUGCAAAAUCCCCUGCUAAAAUCAGUUUCUUCUUUUUGGAGUAGAAAAAGGGUAGUGAUACAUCUACUGCGGAGUCUGGUUCAGAUGCUGAAGACAUUUCCUCACCAAAAGCAUUGAGAACUUAUAUUUCUCACCCUCAAUUGACCCCAGUUCGCGAAGAGGUGAGUUGAUUCUCUGAUGACAUUUUCUAUUUUAUAUGUUGACAUUUUAUUUUUUUAAUUAGGAUACUAUCUUGGCAACUCUUUUCUUAUAAGCUAACCAUGCGUAUAAAGGUAGUGUCUGUUACAAAGUAAGUUAGAGAAUUUCAGAAGGAUAUGAAUGUUAAUUUAUGUACUUUUUAAAGUUCCAAGUGACUAUAUGGGAUUGAGUUUGUUGAGUUGGUCGAAAAGUAGCACAGGUAGAUUUCAACAAUUGUUCUGUAUUUGAUUUUGAAACUACUAGUUGUUUUACAAAAACACACUCUGGGAAAAAUAGGUGAUCUAGGUAGGAGAAGGUGAAUUUCUAGAGAAGGAAAUGAGGUUGAACGUGCUUCGUAUCUAGUAAAAGUCAAAGCACAUAGGACCAAAAGUGUUUCGGAUGUCUUGUAUUGAACAUUUGUUUCUUUAAUAAACUGUUCUUGCAAUCAGUAUUUCUUGUGAUAUAGUAGAGUUGGUUAUAAGUAUGGUCUCUAAAAUUUGGCUUUGGUUUCAAUUUUGUCCGCUGGUUCGAAUUGUAACAAUUUAAUCCAGAAGUCUUACUCUGAUAUCAGUUUCAUCAUCAGUAUCAUUUCAAUUCUGAAGUUUGAUCUUAACUUCAAGCUUAGCCCUGAAGUUUGACUUCAGUUUCAGUUUCAUCUUUAAGUUUCAAUUUUAUGAGUCUAAUGAUGGUGCUGACUAAAUUAUUACAGUUAAAACUAUGAGGGAAUAUCGAAUUUUGGGCCAAACUUUUUGACAAUUUUGUUGUUAACCCUGUAUUAUAACAUGUUAUGAAUUUUCAAAUAGGUUGUUAUUAACGUAAUCACAGCAACUACUCUCAUAUUAUCUUGUAGCAAGCAAAGAUGGUGAAGGCAGCUAGCUUUCCUACUGGUCUUUCUGAAAGUGGUGAACAUGUUCCCAUGGUUGACAAGGCUGUUGAUGCAGGAUGGAAGAAAGAAGCUUCUAACCAGAGGCUUUUCGGAUCUAAAGGUUCGUGAAUCAAUAGCUAAAAGAAUUAAAUUUGAAUAGAACAAAAAAAUCCCAGAUCUGUCAGAAAAUUUGAAGAAAGCCCCCUAAUCUUCCUCUUUUUUACAUGAAUCUGUUGUUUUGAGUUUUUAUUUUCAAAAGCCCCUGCUGAGAUCUUUCAAUGGAACAUAGGAAAAUUUUGUUACAAACAUAUCCUCGGAAACUUUAUAUUCUCACUCCUAAUUUCGAAAAACACUAGUGCUAGUGGAAUUGUUACUAUUGCUAAUGGAAUUUACUAUUGCUAACUUUCGUCCUCAACUUUAUUUAUAUGAAGUUCACAAGGACAACCAUUAUAAAGGGACAAAAGUCACUAUUCCUUUUGGUGUCUUCCUUGAUUCCAUUAAACAUGCCUGUUGGCAACUUCUAUUAUUAACAACAAACAAAAAAACAAACAAACUUAGAGUAAAGGGUUUUAUCUGACCUGACAAAACAAAAGUUAGGGCCUUUCUUGAGACUGUCCACAAAAUCAGGGAUUACAUAAAAAUUAUCUUUCCAUUUUUUUCGUUCUCUUAAAUCUUGAUCUUUAGAUCUUUUUCCUUGGGGCAGAUUUCAAGUUGUUAAGCCUGCUAAAUUUAGCAUCAACGACAUCCAAUUUUAUCUAAUUCUGCCUUUUCAACUUCUAUUUUUGUCACUAGUAAUUUCACAAUAAAAGACUAAUGAAACUGCUUAGAUCUAGUUACACAAGUUUGAAUAUGAUACAUAUGCUAGUCACGCACUCCAUUUUCUUUAUCUUCAUUCUUAAUAAAUAACUAAACAUGGCUAUGUUUUUUGUUUGCUAUUGUCAUAAAUGCAGAUACUGUUUCUCUUACAUCAAAACCUUCUGAAGGUCACUUGGCUCAAAUUAUUGCGACCCUGUUGGCAUUUAUCCUGACUAUUCUGACUUUCCUACGUGCAAUCACAAGUCGCGUGACCAAGAAACUUCCACAGAGUACUUCCCAGCCAGAGACUAACUACGCCACAUUUCAAUUUGACUCUGUUCCGAAAGAAGAGUUCCGCCCGCCUUCGCCCGCUCCAGGAUUUACCCAAGUAGACCUCCUUUCGUCACUUCUGAGUAGGCUCGGUGAACUCGAAGAGAAAGUCGAGAUUCUUCAAGCAAAGCAACAUGAGAUGCCUUCUGAGAAGGAAGAGUUGCUUAAUGCCGCUGUUCGCCGAGUAGAUGCAUUAGAAGCCGAGCUCAUUGUUACUAAGAAGGUAAAGUUGUGCAACUCAUUUCCCUUCUUGACUAAUGUUGGCUUUGUAUAUUUAGCUAGACUAUGCAGAUGCACAAUAACUACCGUAGAGCAUCAUAAAUCUAGGCCUUGUUUUUCCUCACCACUUGUAUCCAUUCUUUUUCUGAAAAGAAUGGUUAUUGUGAUUCAUUUUGGCUCUGGGCUCUUUUCUGUCUAGACUUGUCUAUCCAAUACUCUUUAUCAUCAUACUAUUUGUAAAGGAUUUUUUGGUUAGUUAUUAUAAUCUUAGAUAGUUACCAUGGUGGGCCAAAUUUUUUUUGAAUAAAUUUAUCCAUUGUUAUAACCAUUUUUUUAGACUAUAUUCCCAACUGUUAUAUGGAUGAUUAGUUAAUGACCUGUUUUUUUUUUUUCCUUAGUUCACUUUGUUGGUUUCUAUUUUCCCCAGUACAUGUUGAACAAUAUUUUUAACCAGCGUGUUGUAUUUACCAAACUCGGCAAUUUUACUUUGCGUAUUUAUGUGCUAAUUUAUUACACAGGCUUUGCAUGAAGCUCUUAUUAGGCAAGAGGAACUGCUUGCAUAUAUAGACCGCCAAGAGGAGGCUAAGCUUCGGGUUAGUUAACACUUUCUACCCCCUCUCUUUUUAUCAAUGCUGUCCUACAUUCAAAGCUUUUUUUUUUUUUUGUUUUCAUUUUUUUGAUAACACAUUAAAAAAAUGAUGAUACCGAUGAAUUUACGUACCUUGCUACAAAUUUUUUGUAGAAGAACAAAUUUUGCUUUUGAAGAGUUUGAAGAGGCUUAUGCGGCUUUGUUCUGCUGGUGGAGGUUUUACAAGCAGGAAAAGAAGAUGAAUUUGAGGUGACAUUCUACGGAUGUAUCUUCAAAAUCAUUGGGUUUCGACGUAUGAUUCUAGCGAUAAAUAAAUUGUAUUUUCAUUUCCCCUUCUAUUGCAAUGCCUUUAUAAUAGCCUUUCUUUUCUUUUUUUUUUCCCUCGCACGUUUGUUUCCCAGUAUGAGGACAUAGUAUAAGUAAAACAACGUAAUCAAAAAGAUUAUCAAGUCAGUUACUUUUUUUAACUUUGGUAUAUUAUAUAUUUAUAUAUACACACACACACGCUUGCUGAGUCCUCCUUUAUGCUUUGUUAUUUUAUUUCUUUAUUUCUUUUUAUCCUUGUAUCAGAGAUGUAAAAACAUCCAAUGGAAGUUGUAUCCCUAGUAUUGGGACUACUAAAUCUUUGGAAUGUGGGGAACAACUAUGGCCCUUAUAAGUCAUAACCUUUGUAACGAGCAAGUCGUAAAAUAUUUGAUAGUUGAUACUCGAAAUUUCAAAUUUAAAGUCUAGUUGUUCUAUAUUUCUAGCUAAAUUUAUUUAUAAAAAAAAAUGAACGAAAUGGGUACCAUACUGAUACUACCAUUCUCUCUCUCUCAAAAAAAAAAAAAAAAAAAAUGCAGGAGCUCUUGGUGGGGGGUUGUGAAAAGGAGCUAUUAAUGAUAUUUCACAUAGCUUUAUUCAAAUAACAAUUUUAUGGAACUUCCGGUCACACCAAUGAUGACCAAACAAGUCCUAAAUAUUUGGGAAGUGAUCUCAAUUGACUCACUUUUACUACGAAUAGAUCAGCUUUUUUCAAUUUGGUCCAAAUCAACAGCUGAAUAUUAAUUAUUCAAAGGAAGCAGGUAACCAAUCACAUGUGGCAUUAGAAAUAAAUGUCCAAACUAAAAUAGAAUGUAUGUACAUAACAAUCAACUUGGUAAAUCAUACAAUCGAAUAACAAAUAAAAUGUAUGUGAUCCCAAAGGAAUCAUUUGAGUAAUACAUAUGUACUUUUAACCGAAAGCUUGGAUUAGUUCACCCAAGAAUAAACACAUAUAAGGUUGCAACUCAUAUAAAAGAAAAUUAACCAACCUCUUAAAAGUUUCAUAUUUUUACUUUACAUGGUGCUUUCUCUCUCUUCUCACUGCAUUCUUUUACCAGCAAAAUGGGUUCUGCAUAUGUUAAGUUACAGUGUUAUCAGAUGAAGAGGAUAUGCAUAGAAAAGUAUUAAGCAAAAACAAAAUAAUGUAGCUCCUAAGUCAAGCAAAAGAAGAAGAGAACACAUUUAAAAUAUUAUGUAUAAUUAUUUAUUAACUAACAUGGUACUAUUUCUUUGUAUUUGAAGUGAUCCAAGGCCCUAGUUUCUAAGAAAACAUACCGUGGUUAAGAAAUGGAGUUAUAGUGUGGAAGAAAAAUGGUUUGCCACAAUUAUUGAAAGAAUAACAGCAACAUAUAUACAGUAUUAAACAUUUAUACAAUUAUAUAUCUAUCCCAAUAGAAAAGCUUAUAUUAUGAAUGAAAGUGCCAGGAUAUAACUAUAUAUAUAUGGUGUGUUCAAAAGAUUGGAUUUUCGAAAUAUUCGACAUUCGGAUACUAAAACCACUUACCAACUUGUUCUUCUUCUUUUUCUUCUUAUCAAUAUAAGCAAGAAGCUCCUCCUGCUGCGAGAAAGCAUCCUCGAGAGCCUGCGAAAUGAGAAAUAAAUAGGAACCAUUAUUUUUACAGCCAAUUUAACUAAACAAUCUGCACCAAAUUCUCUCAUGCCAUAGCCAUGAAACUGAAAUCCUUUUCUAUCAAAUAUGUGCUUACCUUUCUGGUGGCUGCGAGCUCGGAUUCUAACGCCUCGACGCGGCUCACUGCAGCCUUAAGCAUCUCCUCCUUCUCAGAAGGCAUCUCAACAGGCUUCAUGCUGAGAAUGUUCAUCUUCUCUUCCAUUUCCACAAGGCGCUUAAUCACCGCAUUGUAUUCAGCAGCUGAUACUUGAGGUUCACUCAUCAUGCAUAACUGCUUUUGGCUUCUGACUGCAGCUUCUCCGUAAGCAGGGUUCGUGCAGUCGAUGGCCGCCCCGACUAUUUUCUUGGACACGACGCGGCUGACUUUGAGGAUGGUGACUAAGCCCAUAACCACGGCCAUGACUCCUCCGAGGACGGGGCUGCCAAGUCCUCCUGAGUUUUGGCAGAUAUCUGCCAAUGAGUAGGGAUCUGAAAAGCGAAAAAAUAGCAUCUAUAUAUUAAACUUUGUGUCUUGUCUAUUAAAUCCCUCACACUAUGAGAGAACAUUCAAAUUCGCAGAUUUAAGACACGACAUGGGACAAUUUGAAAUUACUGAGAAAAACUUGAAUCGACACUACUACAUGAAUUGAACCGUCUAACACGGAAACGACACGACAUAACAGGAUUACAGUAAGUAAUUUUGUUGAGCAUCUAGGUAAAGUUAUAGGCUCUUAGACGUAGUCUCAAAUGGUGCUCAAGCUCCGCAAAUAUAGCUGAAAAUUAAUUUUUUUGAGAGGUAAUAGUUACAUGAACCAACCUUUAGAUAUCAUUGCAAGUUUUUGGUCUUGUACUUCAUUGUUCCAGCUAGCGUCGACGGCCUUGUCAACAAUCGGGAUGUGAUCAUCGCAAGAAUACGAGGAGGAAAGAGUUUCUUCGGCCUCCGGAACCUGUAGAGUUUAGAAAAGAUUAGGGACUCGGCUAAAAUUGAAGGACCAACAUGAGUGUUAGUAUAAUACAUUGACCUGUGAAAUAGCGUCUGAUAUUUCUGUUUCUCUCUGUCAGAAAGAAUGCAGCAGGGAGUUUAUUGUAGAAUAAGCAUAACUAUCAUGGAGAGUACUACAGUGUUCAUGUACCAAAAACAAUGCAAUGUUCAUUAAUUUCUUAGUGAGAUAAUUGUAGGAAAACCCUUGUAAUUAUAGCAGUUAAUUCUAAAAUUGCCCCCCCAAGAACAUAGAUUCUAUCCUCUUGACCCCCGUAUGUAUGCUGACAUAUAUCAUCAACAAAAGGAGGCGAAGCGAUGAAAAAUCAUUGUUUAGGGAGGUUGAUAAAUAGGUUUUCAAUAUUUCAAGGUGGCAAAAAUGGAAAUCGUGAUAUUUACGAAGGGCUUUCUUCAUUUUAGCAUUUCAAGAUAGUUAGUUAGCUAGUUAUCCGUUUUGUUCAUAUAGUACUAACUGAUUGAAGAAGUCUCCUACCUGGUAUGCUGGACAGCCAGGUUCCUCACGGACGGGAGACAAAUGUGGGUGUUCAAUAAAGCCCCUCGAUGGUUUCGGAGAUCGAAUAUCGUCUGUGGGAAAAAUCAUCUCUCCAGAGAAAGAUUCUUGCAUCUUUACGUAAUGACAAGAGUAUCUUACAAAUUAGUACUUAAAGAUUGUAAAUUAAAGCAUGAAGAAAUGAAAGAAACAGAGAAAAUUAAGUUAGGUUGAGUUUCACAGCCACCUUGGGAUAGAAUAUCUCAUCCUCAGAAAUUGUUUUCUCGUCGGCACUGAAAGAGUUUGAGUUUGGCUUCCCACAUCUCCCAUAGCCACUUUGAACCAUCUAUACAUCAAUGUAUUUAGGGAAAAACUCGGUUAAUUUUUCUAUCCCUCUCAACUUAUAAUGUUGAAAACAUUGAAGAAAAUCUACGUAAAAAUAAGAAAGUAAAGAAGCAAAUAAAUUAUGAUUUGAGGGUCGAAAGGUAAACACACCUUCAGGAUUUCGAGAUCCUUCCAUGGGCCUUUGUCGGACCGAAGACAACCACCCUCACAGUUGCAAGUGCCACCAAGGAACUCCGGUAAUUCACUACGAGAAAACCACAAUAAUUUACACAAUGAUUUGAUGCCUAAAUAAUUCAGAGAGUAAUUACCUGAGGUUUUAUCAAAGUAAUUUUUGAUACAUUAGUAUUCAAAAUUCUAGUAGUAAUGUGUGCUUCAUAAGCUUUAAUGCAAACCUGGCAUCAAUCACUUCAAGCAACUUGCUUUGGUACUUGUUGCUCAGAACCUGAUUGUGAAUCAAAUUAUUGUUAGUUUUCGCAAUAGUUCAUCAAAUUAGAGUUGUUAAUAAAGAGAGAGAGAGAGAGAGAGAGAGAGAGAGAGAGGCACUUACGUGAAUCUUUGCGGUGGUUUUAGGAUCAAGGAAGGUCUUUACGGUGUUCCAAAGCAGUCUAAAUCCCUGACCGGCAUUGAUGAUGAACAUGCGGCACAAGGUCUAAAGAAGAAAAAGAUUGUAAUAAAGUAAAUAUCAUCAUUUUGCAUGAUAUAGUUACUUGGCUAUACAAUUUUUGUGAUUGAAGUGAUUCAUAAUACCUCGGGAUAGUUAUCUCCGUCGAUCUUCUGAAGGCGGCUGAUUAACUCUCUCGCAGUCUUAUUGAAGUGUUUGUACCCCUAAUAAGAUAACACAUUCAUACCAUAUUCAUUUUAAAGCGGGAAAGGAACAACCUAUUUUUUGAACUUGAGCAACUUAAUUAUUAGACUCUCAGAAAACUUGUACAAAACCGAACUGCAUGCAACUUACAAGUAAGAGGUUCUUCAUACCCUCAUGUAUUACUAUGUUAGUAUACAUAUUCUUAUGAAACCAAGGAAUUCUAAUGCAAAUUAAGGAUUAGUGUCUUUGUCAUAGUUAUUCUUGCUAAAUCAUCUAUUCAGAUAUGUACCCCUACAUAAUGCGAUUAUUUUGUAUUCCUCUCCAAAGUGCAUUUUCUAACGAAAUUAGUUAUGGAUUCAAGGGAAAAGUAGGUUUUGCAUCGUAAAUAAAGAGUACUAGUUUUAAUAUGGACAUAUUCACAAGAACAAGGGCAUGUAUAUUCAAAAUAAAGUUUCUAUUAUGGACAUAUUUAUGUGCAGGUUUCGCAUGCCUUCUAUUUUCAACAGAAGGUCUUCUUCACAUACCACUCCUUGGACAUCGAGAAUUGUCGUGCUCUGGUCGAUAUGCCGCUUCGCUGCGAUCGAGCAAGCAGGGAAUUUAACUGCGAAGGUCCUCUCAAACUCCCUAACGUGAUACUUAACGUAUCGGUCCAUAUUCGUGACUUGCAUCAGCUUGUUCGCGUCGAUUUGCCCAAGCCUUUCGAUGUAAACUGGUCGGCCUUCCUUGUCUACUCCAUGGUGGCCUUGUGGGUAGUGCUCCAAAACUUGGUCGAUCUCUUUGAAAUCGAAAUCCUGGGGAGUUAAUUAGUUGUAUAAAAUGAGAAGGAAUGAGUGAGGAUAUAUAAUUUUGAUCUUUAGUUAGCAUGAAAUAAGAACUAUAUAUAUGAUUAUGAUUCCUUUUCCUAUUAAGAAAGUGAGGAAGAAAAUUACAUCUGUUAUUGUGUCGGCGCCGAAUUCCUUUCUCCAUUGGAGCAUAUCAGCCCACAUUUGCUUCGUCUUUUCAAUAUCGAACUUCCUUGCUUUAAGAAACCUGUUUCCGAAAACAAAUUGUAACUGUCAUUAGUAUUUUGUCAAACCAUAUAAUUUCAAUUUCUUUCUUCAUAGCAAAUUAGAUCGAUCGGUACAUCAUAACUGUUACAAUGAAAUCAAAAGAUAGAUACAUUUGUUCAAGACCAUUACCGUAAUCUAUCAAGAAUUAUACUAGCGAACUAUAUUUUAGUCAUCAUAACAAAUAAAGCAAAAAAGGGAUCAUAAUAUUAAUGAUACUACAACAGCUACAAUUAAUGCAUUAUCCAUCUAUUUAUCUAUCCAUAGAUAUGUACCUUAGCAUCAUGUGGUAGUCAUCAUGUCUGGAGGGAAGCAGUUCCUCGAGAAUGAGAGUCUGGCGGAAGGCAUCGACAGCCUGCAUCUCCUCAGCAUCGCGCACGUCCUCGAUGGAGACUGACAUAACCUUGCUGCUUCUCCUGCCCCUCUUCGUCAGCGAAUUUCUGAACUUUGUCGACGCAUUGAUCGCCUUCUUCUUUAAAGACCCGAUUCUUGUCUUCCUGUCGUCCUCUGAGUUCUCGAUGUCAGAUCUUCUGUCUCGCUUUUCUUGAUCUGGAAGGCCUUCCUGACCUGCCAAAGAGUUAAUAGAGUCUAACAUCAUCAGAAAAUGCGAAAUGUUAUGCGAAAUUGAUUCGCUUUUUCUUCUCCAACAUUUUUUUUUUCAAGAUUGAUGAUAUUUGUUUGAGAAGAAUUAGAUAAUUAUUGCACGAGUAGUUAGAAUAGAAUUAUGCACAUUGUACAUAGUUUUAUUGUAAGUAUGUCUAUUUAAUUUAUUUCCUAUACAUAAUUUGCGCCGACAUAAACCAUAGACCAAAACUACAAACUUAUAAUGCUCUCUUAUUUUUGAGAUGCCAUAUAACAAUGUGCGAAUAGAAAAAUCAAAUAUCAACAUAAAAAUCAAUAUAUACUCGCGUAUUAUUUGAGACAAAUAUAUGCUUCUAUAUAUAUAUAAAAAAAUCGGACGUACCAGGUAUUUGGAAUCGGUCGAGAGGCCCCGACAUAGCUUCACUCAUGGUUCGUUUGCGCGAGCUACAACACAUAGUCAAAAAAAAAAAAAAAAAAAGAGAAAAAAAAAAAAAAAAAAAAGAGAAAAGGAGAACAAAAACUCUUUAGCCCGAAGAAAAAGAAAAGAAAAAAAAAGAAUAUUCUUGUGUUGUAUAACUUAGUUAAAUAUUGAACAUAACUUUAGAACAAUCUCGAUAUAUACGUGAAGUUGAAAUUAAUAUUGCACUGUUUUAAGUUGAUCACAGAGAAAGUAGGGAAAAAAAAGAAGAAGAAGUAGAGAUUAAUUGUUUGCCUUAUACAUGCAUACAUGAAAUGUGAAAAUAUUUUAAUGCAAGCGUAUUAAUCAGAAGAUGCAUGAUUAAUGUAACUUACUUGCCCGAUCGAGUGGCCGGUGAUUAAUUAAUUAUAAUGAAUGCUAUGCGAUGUUUAAUAAAACGAAGCUCAAUUGUUUGAAAGUGUACAUACCUACGAGAGAAGCAUGAGGUUUAGAAACAGCAAGGGAGGGGGAGGAGGUGUAGCUUAAAAAUGAUAACACGGAAUGCGCGUAGAGAGAGAGAGAGAGAGAGAGAGAGAGAGAUCCAGAGAGAGAGAGAGAGAGAGAGAGAUGGGUGUUAGAGAGCGAAAGAGGGAGAGCUUUUUCGGCGUAAUGCAAGCUACUCCGUUCGUUAUUCCUAUAUUAUAUUAUACCCAAGAAAACAUGGGGAGCUUAAAAUUAGAUAUAUAGUGAGAGGGGGAGGGAGAGAGAGAGAAUCGCGUGCAACGGCUAUUUUCUUUUUUUUCUUUUUUUUGAAAAUUAAAACUUCAAAUAUCGCUGUUAUGGUUUUGCGCUUUCUCAUUUUAGUAUUCUAUAGUUUAAAAUGUAUCACUUUCGUAUUUUGUGCUUUUAUUUUUUCCUUUCCGUUGUCCCAUCCGGUAAGUUUUUCGUUAAAUCAGUGACAAAAUUAGAAUCACGAGAUAUUAAAGUGAAUAUUAGAUAAAUCAUAGAUGGGUAUCUGAAGUUCUUUGUAUAUGAUUUAACGAAAAUUAACGAAAGCGCCGAUGAAAAGAGAAAAAUAAAAACACACGGUACUAAAAUGAUAUAUUUUUAAUCAGAGGGUACUAAAGUGAGAAGCGUUGAAACCAUAGGGUGGUAUUUAAAGUUUACCUCCCUUUUUUUUUUCCUUUUUUUGGAGGGGAAUCGGUUUGAAUAAAACAAUUCACAUUUAAGUCCCCGUGCUAUGUAUCCUGAUAUUGUGGUUUGGUCCGUAAACAUUGAUAACCCAGAACUUUGAAAUGUUUCUAGAAAAUAAAAAUGAACUCUAUUGUAAAAUGGGAAUCGAAAUGGGAAUUGAUUGGAACGGUGAAUCUCUUAAUUUGUUUGGUUCACAAUAAGAUUUGGAAUCGGAAUCAACUUAUUAGUAUUAUUAUUUAGUUAAAACAAAAAAAAAUUAACCUACUAUCUAAAUUCGUAAUCAAAAUAUAGAUUUAAAUUGAGAUUCAUAAUUUAAAUUUUUAAUUUGACUUUAAGUUCAAAGUUAAAAUGUAAAAUUAUAUCUAAAUUCAAGUAUCAAACAUAUAUUGAAAUUAAAAUUAAAAUUUUAAAAAUUAAUAAAUGUUGAAUUUAUAUUCUGAAUUUAAAUAUAAAAUUAUAAUUUCAUCUAAAUUUAAAAUUAUAUGCAUAUUUGAAUUUAAAUAAUUAUUAUUGAAAAAAAAUGAGUUUUUUUCUAUCCUUUUCGGAAGUAAAAUUGACUCCCAUGCACCUCCGUGUUGGGAGUCAUUUUGGAGGGAUUCGAUUAUCCCCGGAAUGAGAAUCGAAAUGCUUUUCUCUCUAAUCAAUCACUAACAAUAGUAAUUGCUCAUUCUGAUUUCCAUUCCAAGCCUCAAAUUUUUUUAAGUAAAUGAGACCUAAGUGAAAUACAUAAUGUAUAAGCAAGAGGCAAUAUGAUCAUUUUAUUUAGAAAAAAAUAAAAAAAUAAUGUUUACAUGGAUAUGGAUCAAAGCGCAAUAAUGCAUGGAAUAGUACAACUGUACAAGGCCUACCCAUGCAUUAAUUUUAUAAACCUUUUUUUGUUUUUUUUUUUUCACUUGUGAAUGGCUUGUAACGGCAUGUCUAGAUGCGUCCGCAUCGUGUUCAGCUCUCGCUUUUUUUGGUUUAUUUAAGAAGCAAGAGUACUUACUUAAUAGAUGUGCAAAAUAACAUAUAAAUGAUUCGUAAUAACAUGUUCAAAAUAGUACAAAUUCUCAUAUGCAACAUAUAUUAUUCAAAAACAAACCAUGAAUAUCACCGGGGACCAAAAAAAAGGUUCUAUAGUUCAAUUACAAAAGAAAAUUCUCAUAGCAAACAUAGUGUCAUUACAUAACUUAUUUUAACAUUCAAAUAGAUCGCAAUGUAAGAGAAUCAAUCCGUCGGCCUAAUAUGUCUUUUCAUCCAUGCAACUCUUUUUUUCAUCUUAUAAUUUUAAUCCAACAUAGUUCAACCUCUCAAUAGAGAGAAUAAACCUCCAUCAAAUUUGAUAGUAGAGAAUGAAGUGUGACUUGCGGUGAAAGGGGUAUCGAUGCACUAUGCACAGAUGCACUCUAUGCAGAUAAUAAUUUCUAAGCAUUAAAAAAAAAUUGCAUGGAGACUCUGUGUAAUAUCUGGGAUAUUUGUAAUUUAAGAAAUUCAAAAUUUAAAUUUGAAUUCGAAUUUCAAUUCAAAAUUCUCUCUAUAUAUAUUGCUAUAUAUAUGUGAGAGAAAAAGGGGGCAUCAGAUCUUCGCGAAUCCGCGACCAAAUCACACGAAAUGAAAACGUGAUCUCGAAGGUCCGACAGUGCCGGUAGCGUUGGCGCAGUCCAUUCACAAAUCUCACGAACGGAUCGUCUGAAAUUGCAUGUUUAUUGGGGAGAGGAUUUUAUGGGAAAAACUGUGUUUCGGAAAAUCCCCCAACAUUUUAUGUGCCAAAUCGCACGAUUUCGCACGUGGGAGUGGCGUUGUGCAAGUUACUUGUGUUGUGAGGGACCAGGGUAAAAUUUCUAUGUAUUUGUAGAGUUUUUUGCAAUUUUUCCAAAAAUGCUCAAAGAGAAACCUAGGGUUUGUCUUCCCCCACUCUUAACCCUAACCCUCUCUCCCUCUCUCUCUCUCUCACUCAACCACCUCCCUCUUUCUCUUCCGAGUGCGCCAUGUGUAACCUCGGCCGCCGGCAACCUCGUCUCCGGCCAUCUCUCUUUCUCUCCCUCAUUUUUUCUCUUCCCCUCUCACUCUUUCCUUGUUCUAUGAGCCCGAGCAGCAUGGGGACCCGAGGCCACGUCCCUUGGGUUGGCCUCGACCACCCCGACUUCUGGCUGACUCCCCCGGCGUCCUCGUGCCCUGCCGACGCCGCUUGUGACGCCUCAACUUUCCAGAGGGUCAUCCAUCCUAGGACUACUCCCAUCCCAGUACGCUUAAUUUUCUUAACCUCUUGGGCCUAACCACCACCCAAGAUGCUUAAGCCGGGUUUAGAAUUUUAGCCCUACUUGGGGUCUCACAUUCUCUCCUCCUUAAGCCCUGACAUCCUCGUCAGGCUCAAACUCACAAGUACUAUGUGAUGUGAGACUCGUCUCACUAGCCUAAAGCGACCUUGUGGUGAGCUGCACUCCACCCACAACAGUCAACAAUGUGAGAGCCUCGCUCUCCCCGCUGUAUAAUCCUGGCUCAGCCGCGACUGAUCUUACACUUCCGACUAGUAAUUGGCUCUGAUACCAAUUGUGAUGCCCCAACUUCCUAGGGGGUAACCCAUUUUAGAAUUACUCCCGUCCUAACAUGCUUAACUCUCUUAACUUCUUGGGCCUAGCCAUCAUCCAAAAUGCUUAAGCCGGGUUUAGAGUUUUAGCGCUAUUAUAUUUUAUAUAUACUACUUGGGGUCUCACACCGCCGCAACUGCCAGAAUACUCCUCCGACAGCCACAGGCAGAGAGGAGCCUAGCUUCACUGAACCACGGUCGCUGCUGCCGCUGCCGACUCCCCCGGCCUUAGGAGGUCUGCCGCCAACGACCCCAACCUCCCUCAGCCGUCGCCAUCGCCGCUUGGCUCUCCCCAACCCAGCCAGGAUUUGUGCUCGCCGAGCUUCUCCAACUAGCCGCUGCCGCUCCCAGUCGCUAGCCAAGGGGAGCACUGUGCUUCUUUCCCCCUCUGCUGCUGACCCUAGCUGGAGCGCACAGCGGCAGCCGGCCGGAGAGCCCUCAGCUCGCACAGCCCCUUGAGCUAGGACUCAAAUAUAGGCCCUUCUCUAUUCGUGGCAGUUCGAUGCCCCCCGAUCUUUUUGAAGGCAAGCACGGCGAACCCCUCGACUCGCUAAACGUCAUGCCUAACUCUGUCGCUGUCAACGACGCUCCCUCGCUGAGUUUUAGCUCCUUCACUCCCGAAGUCUUUUGUACACUGAAGUUGGGGAGGCUCCACAACACUCCUCGGUUGUCAUGCGCGCUUGGGACAGCGAGCACAGUGUCCGACACGUCGAGACCUAUCGGACGUGCCUUCGCUUCAUCCCAAAAGUGCACAGUUUUCGGUAAUGGCCUUAAUUUUUGCUCUAAUGUUUAUUAUUUCGCGAUUUGUUGGCUCUUUAGGGACAUUUUUGCAAUCAGGGCUUCGUGGGCUGCCUUGGGUAGCGUGUGGUCAUUGUUUGUGACCCUCCCUCUAGACUUUUCCUCUAGAUUCUGAAGCCUCUGUGCGAUCAAAAGUAGGGUUUCCACGCGUUUGUCGGUGAAAUUGCCGGUAGAAUACAGUUUCGUGUUGCAGUGAAUCUCCAGCUUCAUGGUUCCCCGAAAAUUAUCACCUAGCCUUGUUAGCUAGCUACUGUGGUGCCCUCAUGUGUUUGGAGGUGAUCGGAGUGCGGCGGAGGCUUCCAGUGCUAAAGUGGACACUUUCAGAAGCCCGGUGGUCGAUUGGCGAUGACCGAGUUGACUUGGAGACUUAUGUUUACUGUUCGAGCACUUAAAUAGAUGUUUUUCGGGAUAGUGGGUGACUCCUGGUGUGAGUCGGUACAUUUUGGGGCAUUUUGUGGGUCCCGGGGGCAUCUCGGUGCGUUUUAGGGAUUCCCGGUGAGUUCGGGAAUCUGUUUUGGGAAAUCAAUUUCGCGAAUGGUUUGGGAUUGUGAGCCUUGUGUUUUUGAGUCUAUAGGAUUAGAUUCUGACUCGGUGGACCUGUCGUAGGUUUGGUCGACGUCCCUUGCUUUGCAGGAGCUGGAUACAGUGAUGGACACAGGUGGGUACUUCGAUCUGAAGUUGGUACUGUGGUGCAUGCUCGGUGAUAUCUCUUGUAACACCCCCAAUAGUCCCACAUCGGAUGGGAUACUGAUCCUAAUCAGUUUAUAUGAGUCCUCACACGCUAGUAAUAAUAACUGAGCUUAACCAUUUUUGGUAGGUGGUUUGGCCCAACGAGUUAUUAUUGCUAGAGGGUCGGAUCGUUACAAUUGGUAUUAGAGCCGAAUACCGGUCAGAAGUGUGAGAGAUAAGUGCUAUACGGGGCAAAGUGCUACACCAACGAGUUUUGUGGGAGCCGCUUCUUGAAACCGUAGAAGCCAUCUCUAGAAUCUCACAUCGCCUGAUAAUUCUGGUCCUAAUCUGUCUAUCUGUUGGGGUUUUGACCCAACGAGAAUGUCAAUGUCUAAAUAGGGGGAGUUUGUAAUACCUCCAAUAGUCUCACAUUGGAUGGGAUAUUAAUUUCGAUCAGUUUAUAUGAGGCCUCGAACGCUAGUAAUAAUAACUUGGCUUAAGCAUUUUAGGCCGGUGGUUUGGCCCAACAUGUUAUUAUUACUGGCGGGUCGAGUUGUUACAUCUCUCUACUCUUUCCUAACUACCUACUACUUAUACUUGUUUCAUGAUGAGUAUGACACUCUAUGACUUUGCUUUAUAUUUGCUCUAUUAGUUCAUAUUUUCGUUCUUGUCUAGAAGCAGAACAGUAGUGUUUCUUUGCUUAUGCAUGAGCGUAUAUCAUCAAAUACCUAAGUGGUCGGUACUCAUGGAUUUGCAUUGUUUUAUGAUUUCGCACAUCAUUCAACCUAAGUAGUCAGUACUCGUGGAUUUGCAUUGUUUGAUGAUCUCACACAUCAUUGUUGAUCUGAGUGGUUGGUACUAGUGGAUUUGCAUUGUUUGAUGAUCUCGCACAUCAGUGUUGACCCGAGUGGUUAGUACUCGUGGUCUUAUGUUGUUUGAUAACAUGAUCGGUCGGUACACCCUGAGAGGUCUGAUUGUCGGCUAUUCGCCGACGGAUGACUAUUGACCAUAUUUGCAUCGAUCGCCAUAGCUCGUCAGUAUUUCACGUACACCGGCGAUCUAAUCUAUUGUAGGAAGGUGUUCUUUUCUGAAAAAGUGAUCGUACAUUCGACCCGUGAGCUUUAGCGGCCUACUACUAGAGUCAUAUGCCAAUUAGAGUAGGAGUGGCAUUGCCUGAGGUCCUUAGACCAAUACGAUAGUUGAUUGGGUAUACUUGUGCUAUCAAUUGCAGUUGACUCAUAGUUAUUUCUCCAUCCCUCUUUGCAGUAGCGGUUAUUCAUACCAUUAUCACAGUUGUUUUCAGUUUAAUUUUUAUUAUUAUUGCACUAGUUUGACUGUUGACUAUAGUUGGCCGUUGUUUUAUUAUCUCACUUUACAAUAGUAGUUUUUUGGUGAUAAUCGAUAGUUGUUAUUCCUUAUCAUCAUACCUAAUUUACUUAUUACUGCUGCUAUUUAUCCUUUCCAUCUAUUGAUGUGUACAACUCGCCUUCGUCGGCUUGCGGUACCCACUAGAAGGGGAAGACUUGUUUACAUGUUCUCACCCCCCACUAUUUUUCAGGUAGCUUAAGUGGUGAGGGUCGGGAUGAUGCGUGAGGACGAUAGUAGAUAGUGAGCUCGAGAUAGAGAUCCCAACCUUACAGUAUUAGUUUUGGUUUGACGCUUAUUGUAUGCAUGUCGGUAGAUAGACUUGAUAGCUCAGUUUCUUACCACUCUCAUACUUGUUAGUAGUUAGACAGUAUUGUGGUUUAGUAGAUUUACUCGUGGAUUUGGAUAUCCGUAAAUUUUGAAUACAUGUGAGAUUUUGGACUGGGCUUUCAAACGAAGUUUUUAAAGCAUACUUAUGGUUUUCGCAAAUAAUGAAUUUUUAUCCCUCGUGGUAGCUUGUUUACUUUAAAAUAAAGGAUUUUAUGUAGAAAACGGUUUUCAAAGUGAUUUUUCGACUUUUAUUGGAUUUUCGAAAAACUAGAGUUUCAAAGUAAAGCCUUCGAGUGGGAGGCAUUUUCAACUAGUAGGAAUAAAUAUAAAAUUGUCAUUCCUCGGGGUCCCUUUGAAGUUUAAGAAUCAAAGCGGAAGUGCUCAAUUUUUUUUUUUUUUUAAAAUCCUUGACCCCAUGGGAUGCCAGACUGGUCACAAAUACAGGAAACCCACUGUUCACACGGAUAAAGUCUCCCAUAUAUUUGCACGGGGUCGCAUAAGUAUAAGAUACAACCACAAACAUAUACAAAUCAUAUACAUUCACUACAUCACAAUAUCACGAUUUACAUUCAAUUCAAUCAUAAGAUUAUAAUGUUUCAUUCGUAAAUCCAUAUCUAUUAAUUUAAAACGUUUCCCCACCCAAAAACUUAUUUUGAAAGACUAGAAUUAUGAAAAGCGAAAAAUCCUUUUUAAAAUCGUUUUCCACACGGAAACCUUUUUCUUUAAAAACAGGCUACUAUGAGGGGUAGAAAAUCAUUACCAUAAACUCACAUGAAAACCACAAAUAUUUAUUUAACAUCAUAAAGCUGAUAUAUCCAAAUAAAAAAAAGUAAACUGAACCAUAAAAGUCUAAGUCAUUUAUUCAUGGAAAGAGGGUAAAGUCUAAACCGAAUGUCACUGGGCCGGAAACUCUAUCAACCACUAGGUACGCGUCUCACGCCUCGUCCUGACUCGGACCAGCAAAGUCACCAUCUGCAAAUUGCAGGAUUUAAGUAUUGAGUACCGGUACCCCUGUGGAUUUCAGAAUUGGGUGCUCUCGGAUUUGAGCAUAUUCGAUGCUGAGUACCGGUACCGACUUGUCGAGUACCGGUACCGAGCCCGAGUACCGAUACUGCAUCGGGCGAGUACCGGUACCCAGUGCGUGAGGUUGCGGGCUGAGGGGCCGGGUACCGGUAUUGGAGUUGGGUACCAGUACCCCAGCUAGAUUUUUGAGUUGGUAAGGGGUAUUUUGGUCUUUUGAAGUGACGAUCAACCCAAUGUUUAUCCUCAGCCUUAUAUACAUGUAGAGAGCUCAGAGAGGAAGAUUUGUUUGUUGCUCUCUCUCUCCCUUUAGUUUUCGGACGUGCUCGUGGUGAAGGUCGCGGCUUGAGCCGGGAGGUUGUUGACGUUGAUCCAGAGGACCGUUUGAGCACGUGGUCGUUGCGGUUGCGCCGUUGGAGGCUGUGCGAACGCGUGGAUUCCCUUCUUUCGACUUCUCGCCGUGGUUGGACGAUCUUUGCGAGGUGGGUUGAUGUUUACCGAAAUCGUCGGAUUCCCUCCUACGUCGAGAUAUUGUCAGCAUGUAUGUUUUAUAUAUAGUAUUAUGUUAGUAGCUCAAUUCAUCGAUUUACAUAGUUUUUGUGAAAUCUGAGUUGGAUUCUUAAAUUCUAGAAUUGUUUUAUAUGUUGGACUUGGAAUUGACUUAGGAGAAAACCAUUAAACCCUACACUGUCAUUUUCUGAAAAGUUACCAGAUUUAGCUAUAGGAGCUGUUGUUCUUUUGUAUCACCGCUGUUAGUAUGCAGUGGAUACCCAGAUUAGUGUAGGUUGAGGUUACGCUCGUACUGGGAUGCCGAGUUCGUCUUAUAGUAGUGUGUAGAUUAUUUCGGGUUGUCGGGUGCCGUUGUGAUUGACGGUGGACCCAGAUUUAUGUAUUUUGCAUCAGAUUGUGCCGAGGGGACGUGAGUUUGGUUAUUAGACCCACUACAUUGAUUAUAGUCGUCAGAGCCUGGUUGAGCUCAGCAGAGACACACUUACAUAUUCUGUUGGAUAGCGCCCGCAAGUGCCGCUCCGGAGUAAGGCUUUACGCGCAUUGUCGUCGCCGUAGUCUUGUUUGGACAGUGUUCUUGGGCCGGCCACCUCUGUGGUGGUGUGCAGUAUAGCUUGGACUUAGGCUGGACAAGCCAGUUGGCAGUCCCUUGACCUUGGGUUAGUGUAGUCGUUAUUGUAGAGGAUGCAUUUUUAUAUGGACAGAUAGCUCAUUGUGAGUAGUGAUAGUAUAGUAGCAUGUAGCUGUAGAGUACAUUCCAGCUUUUCUUGCUAUCUCUUGCAUGCAUUUCUAUAGACUUAGUAGGUGAGCCGUUGAGGUCGGUGACGGUACUCAUUGAGGACUACUCUAUUUUGUAGUAGUUCUCACAUCUUACUGUUGACCCCUUUUUGCAGAGCCAUCGUCUGCGGCUGCUACUGUUGUGGAUUCAGACCGAGAUAAGGGAGUCGUGAGUUAGAGCCAUCCCUUUCCUUGGUCGCCAGCUAGAGGAGCACCUAUCCAAAGGUAGUUUUGGGGUUUCUUUGUACGUACUGGGAUGUUGUCGUGGUACUCGCUGGAGCGAGUUGGGUUAUAGACAUUUUGUAUGUAUAGGAACCCCUCAAGGUUUAUAUACAUGUUUAUUUCUCAGUUUAGCAGCUCUUUACCUUAUAAUUGUAGCUUGGUUUGGUUUACAGGUACAGCUAUCGUUUCGUAUACAGAGAAAAUUCCUAUAUAUACGGCAGGUCUGUUGGCGUGCCCAGAGAAACGUGGUAAUCCGGGGCGUGAUAGAAAUAUUCCAAAAAGUACGAAGUUGUUUGAGAAUCUCCACUUUCACUGGACAAGCUAUCAAAUGCUAAUAUAGACUAGAAAAGAUAAAAUAUUUGAUAGGUUGACCAAUUUUAAAUACAAUGCAUUGAAUAGAAUUCGAUGCAAUAUCAAUAUGCACAUCUAAGUUAAGAAAUAAUAGUAGAGCAUUCUAUACUAAGUUACUUACUAUAUUUCCCAUAUUUUUAGUUCGUUUGGUUCAAAGUUAAGUAAGAAUUAGUUAUUUUAGAGAUAGGUAUAAGUUCAGAGUUAAGCAUGUAAUAGACCAAUUUUGCAUUUGUAUGAAAAUUGAGUUGUUCUCGAGAAUAAAAAAAAUAGCAUUUGGAUAGAUAAUUAAGAUAGAAUAAGAAGAAUAGUGGGUAGUUAUAAAUAGAACAUAAUGAUGUUGCCUCUUAUAUUUGAAUUUAAAUUUUUAAAUUUUAUAAUUAAAAUUUUAAAUCUGAAUAUAUAACUUUAAACAUUGAAAAAUUCAAAAUAAAAUUUAAACUUUUAAAUCUCAAAUUCAAAAAUUUAAAGUUCUAAAUUUUAAAUUUAAGAUUAAAUUCAAAUUUAAAAAUAUCAAAUAUCAAAAUUUUAAUUUAAAAAAUUAAAAUAAUAAUUUAAAAUUUAAAAUUUAAAAUUUAAAAUUAUAAAUAUCAAUUUUAAGCUUACAAAUUUUUAAAUUUUAAAAAUCUAAAUUUUAAAUUUGAGAUUAGUUAAUCAUACCCCAAUUNCCCAACCCCCAACCCCCCUUAACCCCGAACCAAACGGCCGCUAAUGAAUCAAUUGAGUAAGAAUGGGCCAAACAACAUGUUAAAGUCUCCAAAUGCGCUAGAAUUUAGGUUUUAAUAUGUUUUUUUAUUUAUUUUCAAUUUUAAUAUUUUGGUUUUGGUUUCAGUUUUAAUUUUUAUUUUUAUUUGAAUUUUAAUCAAUUGAGUAAGAAUGGGCCAAGUUUUGAUACUCAUACGCCACUGUUGUAACUGAAAGUUCAAUACUCAUAAAUGUAAGAGGAACACAGUAUCCAAUAUCAAUUAUCAAAUGUGAAACAAUAAACAAUUUCAUCAACUUAUUACUUAUUAAACAAAUCUAUAAGCUGCCUACACAAUCUCAGACAAAGUUUCCAAACGGAUAUAUAAGCUGCGUACACUGACCGUCCCUAGACCCAGUGGCCAAGGGCUUGGUAGUUGGUAUCCGAGAUCCCAAGUUCAAAUCCUAGUUGAUUCACAUUUCUAGCUAAAUUUAUUUCUAAAUGAAAUAAACGAAGCGGGUAGCGUACUACCUACCUCUCAAAAAAAAAAAAAAUAUUAGGCCGAAAAUACGUAAUUAAGAGGUCAAGCAUAGUAUCCACUUUUCCUUACCAAAUAGUGAGCCAAAAUAAUUAAUUAUAUAUGUUUAUCGUACGUCAAGGCACUCAUCCAAAAAGGCAAAGCCACAAAAACUAUAAAAAGAUGAAUAGCAAGUGAAAUAAUUAAGUUGAUUUAAUGUGCCACCGGUCUAUGUGUUCAUUGAGAAAACAAGGCAAAUUGACAAAACUAAGGCAAAACAAGUACCCUAUAAUUAUUAUUAAAAUUUUCUUCAUUUCAAGAUAAAAAAAAAAAAUAAAAAAAAAAAAAAAAAAAAAAAAAAAAAAAAAAAAACCUUUUGCAGAAAGAGCCCCUUCUAACACAACCAGCAAUAACCGUGUUUGUUGCAUGUGUCGUUUUUUCUCGAGCCUAGAGGGAGGAAAAAAAAUAAAAAAAAAGCUAUUAAAACAAAAGUACAAAAGAGAAAACAAAAAAAGAGAUAUUACAAACAUACUCUGGCCAAAUUAUCAGCUUCUAAAUAUAUCCCAGCAAAAAUCUAGAUUCCAUAUCCCAUCAAAAAGUUACAUGCUUACCGUUAAAAUCACAAAUCACAUGUACAAAACAUAAUUCACAACAAAUCAUCCGUUAAAAUCGACUUCAAUCAAACAAAAUCGUGUUGGCACAGAUCUAUGAAUAGUACAACUCCCGAUCGACCAUGAAACGUAGAUCGAUCAUCAAAGAACACGAAAGAGAACUAUAGAUCGAACCCUAGGAGCCGGAACAAUGAUCGAUUUGAAGCAAAUUUAUCGGCCAAGAUCUAUUCAUAUUUCUAAUUGAUCACAUUAACAAGGGUGACCAAAUUCAUCUUAACAUGCAAUAAAACAAUAGGCUUAUAUAUAUUGGCAACAAAUUAUAUGAUAGAAUAAAAUAUUCCAAAAUUUAUAGAAUAAAUAUAGUAAAAUAUAUCAUUUACUCAUCUCAUUCUAUGUGUCAAAGAAAUAAAUAAAGUGCAAACCUUGCAAUGACUUUUAAAACUUCGUGGCAAGGUUAUCUAGAAGCUAGUCGAGCCCCUCUUCCUUCUUUGUGAAUCUACAACCAGCUAAAAUAGAGAUUUCAACAGUCGAUAAACAAAACUUAAAUUCAGUUGACUAAAAUAAGCAAUAGAGUAUUUAUACUGAUAAGAUAGCCAUCUGAUGUUGAUGAUGCAGAAUGCAUAUUCUGCAGUCCAGCAAUCCAAUAUUUUUAAACUUAAAUUAUUAAUUUUAUAAAGUAAAUCAAAAUAUUAAUUUAAUUCAAGUUUAAAAAUUAAAUAAAUAUUUUAAUUUAAUCUUUAAAAUUAAUAAUUUAAUUUAAUUUUUAAAAAUUAAUAAUUAAUAAUUUAAUUUAAUUAAUAAUAAGAAAUUAAGAUUUACAACGGUGACCCCGUGUGAAUUUCUCAUCACAAUUGAACCAUAGUCCCUGAUCUCUUUUUUUGUGACUUCAUUUCAACAGGAGUUGAGUUAAAACAUUUGAUAGAAGCUGUAAAAUUUUUCACAUUUGAUAGAAUGUGAAAUAACGAUGGUAAAAUUUUUCACAUUUGAUAAAAUUUUUCUCAUCACAUUUGAUAGAAGCUGUAAAAUGGUAAAAUUUUUCAAUAUGUUUGGUUUGAAAUAACGAUGGGUAUCAGAAAUUCAGAAUAGUUGAUUCCCAUUUCCAUUUAUUUGGUUGAGAUAAAAAAAUUAGUUAUUAAAAAUAAUAAUUGAAAUAAAAUUUCAAUUAAAAUAUACAAAUAAUUAAAAUUUAGUUCACAACUCAAAACAUGAAGUUAAAAUUAUAAUUUAAAUUCAAGCUGGAAAUUAGGUAUUAAAAAUUUACAUCAAAAUUGUGAAAUNCCCGGAUCCAUUUGCAUCUCUAAUCCUUUCUUAAAAACCGGAUUAAAAUUUUCUAUUCUAAAAAUAUCUCAACUAUAUUAUAUUUAUAAUUUCAAAUUAAACUAAAAUUUUAACUUUAAUUUGCUAUUUAAAUAUAAGUUAAAGUUCAUAAAUUAUUUUUUUUUACUUUUAGAUUUUAAAUUGAACUUAAAUUAAAAUCAAAGAUUAAUAUUCUAUCAAGAAUAUUGAAUUUGAUUUAUGAACUUUAACUUAUAUUUAAAUAGCAAAUUAAAGUUAAAAUUUUAGUUUAAUUUGAAAUUAUAAAUAUAAUAUAGUUGAGAUAUUUUUAGAAUAGAAAAUUUUAAUCCGGUUUUUAAGAAAGGAUUAGAGAUGCAAAUGGAUCCGGGUUGGUGGAACUCCUGCCACGAUCCGCCCAAAUGGGACAGUAAAUGGGAGAAAAUAAACGAAUACGGACCAGGAAACGGGAUAAUUUUUAUAAUGCGAGACGUAUUUGGGGUAGGAAUAGGGAGAAAUUUUGACCCGCCUCGAUUUCGCCCCAAAUCUGUCCCGCCAAGGUCCGCCCAAAAAAUUAUUUAUAUUUUUAAAAAAUAUCUCUAAAAAAUAAUGUAUUUACGAAAAAGUUCAAAAUAUAAAUAAGUUAGUGCUCUCAUUUCUCAUGUAUUUAAAAUUUUUGAAUUUUGCAUCGAAUUGUGAUUGAUACUUUUAAUUUUAUAAUUGUUGCUGUUAAAUAUAUAUAUAUAUAUAUAUAAAAUAUUAUUAAAAAUUAUUAAUUUAUAUUUUACAAAAUAUUAAUAUAUUAUAAUUUUAUAAAAAAUAUUAGUUAGCGGGGGCGGAUUCAGGGCGCCGGCUAGAGGCAGGUAACAAGACGGAAAGGAUUAUGGGAUAUAUUUUUUAAUCGGUCACGAAUUCGAAACAGAAGGCAGGACGGAAUUUUGGUAGCCAGGGCGGGAGGCGGACCGGGGCUCUCGCCGCCUAAAACAAGAUCCAUGUUACUACCAAACUUAAAAGAGAUGGUGUAUUCUAUAACCACUUUUACAGAAACCAAACUUGAUUUGUAUCUUUUGAAACCAAAAGAAAUGGAUAAGUUGAGUUGUAGAAUCAAAAUGUUUGAACUGUAGGUACUCAUUUUAAAAUACACUAGUUUAUGUAAGUUCUGGACUCAUAUACAUUUUUAUCCGUUGUUUGCUAAUAUCGCCAAGUAUAGAUGAAUAUAGCUAGUUUGAAGUUUCUUGAUCUUUCAUGAUUUCUUUUGGGCUGAUGAUAUUCUCAGGCCUCAGCCCUGUGCAAGAAGAAUGCCAUAUAUAUGAUCUGGUAAUCAUUUUUUCCCCUCCUGAUCCUAAGCACAUUUCAUUUUUCGGCCUUUUCUCUAUACCGUUAAGACACAACAUUGUGUUCCUCUUUCCUUUUUUUUCUUUCUGUCGAUGACAUUCACUUAUUAGGCUUACAAACAGGCAUGUGGCCCAUACAAGCAGUCACCCACAGGCGAAAGAAGAACCAUUCACUGCACCUUACUACUGCUUAAUUUACGAGGUCUUUAGAUUUCUAAACUACGUAUUUACUACAUAUAUAGCUACGUACUUGGGCAAUGUAUUAUUUGUUAUUUUGCUAAAAUUGUGGCUGUAUUGCUAAACUGUCGAAUACUCUUUGCCCAAGGAUUAAAGUGCCAUCGGCACGGGCCGUAUCUACCGUGCCGUAUCGUGCCAGCAAGAUGUCGGCACGAUACAGCCCCCGUGCCGAUGAUACAACUCAAAACCCUCUAUUCUUGAAAUUAGUAGGCAAUUUUCUUAACAAAGUUCAAAAGAUUUGAUAAAAAUAUGUAAUAAAUAAUUGGUAUAUUUGUUGCUAAAAAAAAAUAAAUAUUUCAUGCCAUUACAUAUCGACACACAUAUUAUUUUGACCGGCAUACAUCUGCAUGGCCCGGCACGCACCAUACCGUACUGUGCCGGCAAGUUUCCGACACGACUCCGCGUCACGGCACUUUAAUCGUUGUCUUUGCCUUCUUCUCUUGUCGUUUCGGGUAUGCCAUUACAAAAGCCUUUUGCGUCGCCUUUGUAAUGACCUUCUUUUCUGUAUUCGAUGUUCCUGCCUUCUGGACGAUACAUCUAUGCUACUGGAUCAUCCUCCUUUACUUGAUGAUGAAACGUCAAAUACUUUAUAUUAUCAAAUAUAAAUAUGUGCAAUUCAACACAGGCAAGCAGGUGACUACCGGGCUCAGUAUAUUCUUCCAUCAUAUUAUUUCAAAAAGGAUAUUUUGCGUAAAUACCCUAUAAAUAUAAAUUCAGGCACAUUCCAUUUCAAAGUUGGUGUGUGCAUGCAUGCCUUGAAAACCUAACUUUAUUUGCAGGUAUGCCUCUGCCAGAAUAUUUAUGCGGAAACUUGGGGUGCCUACAUAGAUACCUGUGGUGGGGUUUGUGCACGAAUAAACCAGUACGCAUGUAGAUCCAUAUUUCGCAGUUGUAUUUAUGCAAUUUAACAUAUUUGCAAGCGUAUAUAUGCAAAAAAAAGAGAUCUUCAAGAAAGAAAUAUCAGGCUUUUUUUACAAAAAAAUCAUGCCUCGGCAACAAUAGGACUUUUUUUAUUUGUUUCUGUUUCUGCAACUUUAGUCCACAUCUCAACUUUUAAAACAAGGGAUGAUUGUCUAUAUACCUUUCAUACGUUUGAAAAUAUCUGAUUUAUCUUUAUUUUUUUUCUUUCUAAAAUACCCCUUAUAUGUUCCACAGUUUUUAUAAAAUAUCUCCACAGUUAUUUUUUGUUAAGUUAAUUUGGGUUAAACGUGAGUUAAAUAUCUACCAGAGUUAAAAAAAAUUAAAAUGCCAAUUUUGCCCUUAACUUAAGGGCAAAUAAGAAAUGUUGGUGACGGUAGAAGGGUAAAAUUAAAAUACUUUUUGUGCCCCUGACUUUAAGGGCAAACAAGAAAGUCAGUGAUGUGGAAGGGUAUAUUUGAAAAGGCAAAAUAGUAAUUUUACAGAGAUAACAGAGUUAAUUAAUCGAUCUUAACUCUAGGGGGAUAUUAGAAAUAAGUUGGAACGUAGAAAGAGUAUUUUCAUAUUAGCCUUCUAAAAGGAGUAAAUCGGAAAGUCGAGAACUUUUCAGGAUAUAUAAGCAAUUGCCUCUUAAAACAAAAUCAUGCCUUGACGCAUUCUUUUGAGCUGAGGUUAAUUGCAUGCCUUUAAAACUCUGCAUCGAUUUUGAUCUGUACAUUGAUCAUGCAAUGCCAUGCUAUCUUGGUCGUGGAGUGGAGUAGCAGCUUGGUCUGAAAAGUUAAAAAGGUGUCUAAAGUUGCAGUAAGGAAAAGGUACAGAGUGUGCUUUUUAUCCUCAAAAUGUCUGAAAUAAUUUGGCAAUUCCAGAUUACUAAAGAGUGUGCCUUUUAUCCUCAAAAUGUCUGAAAUAAUUUGGCAACCAGAUUACGUGCAUUAUAUUAUUGGCUAUCAUUGUACGUUUUAUCAUCAGAGAUACGGAGGCAACAAAAGUUCAGCAAGCAUGCAACAGUUCAUCCAGCGAUUGAUCUUCUCCAUUGCGCUCUCAUAGUAAACCGAAAAGGUAUUUAUAUUUAAUGUGUCAUCAAACAUGAGAGAACAGAAAUAUAUACAUACCUUCAGUUGCAGAAUUUAAAAAGCAUGUGCUAGUUCUUUUUUGGAUUAAUUGCAUACAGAUUCCCGUAAACAUAAUGAAUUGUAAAUAUUCCUAAUGUUUUCAGAUAUGUUCCUCUAGUCUGUUACUGUUAGAGAACUAUUAGAAAACUAUUUAUAUUUUCAAUUUUGCUAUCACAAAUAUGUCCCUCCAAAAGUUAUAACAGUAUAAUAUAAAAGGAGUAAAUAUGUCAAAAAUUAAUCUGGGUAAAAUAUUUAACCUAUAGUUAACUAAACUUUUCUAACGGAUUCUAACAACAGGGACAUAUCUGAAAACAUUAGGACUUUUGUAAGGAUAACUUAUAAAAGUUGAAUUUUAUAGGAAUAUAUUUAUAAUUCAUUAUGUUUCCGAAAACCUGUAUGCAAUUAAUUCUUUUUUUUUAUUUUCCUUCCACUUUCUUAUUGUUGGUUAUUUGGGACGGACAUUUUUGUCACUGAUAUAUCUGUAAGAAUCAUAAUCAUGGUUUAUAGUAGGCAUGAAGGGAUCUCUUUUUUUUUCUCUUUUUUCUUUUUUUUUUUUUUGGAAUGCAUAAGUUCAGUCAUUCGAUUGAAGUUGAGUCAUUCGAUUGAAGUUGAUAUAGAGAUGAUGUUGAUUUAUGAAAUUGUUAUCCUUUCAAAGUUCGAAUAAAUGAUCCUAUGUUAGGUGGCUAUUAUUAGCCAGAUUUAUAAAGGUUAAUGGACCGAAUAAGCUAUUGAUUGCAACUACAUAUGGUUUCCAAUGCCACUGAGAUUGAAUUACUUUGAUAGAUGAAAAUAGCUGGUCUGGGAUCAACAUAACUUAGGAGCUGCAAAUUUUUCAAUUUUAGUAUCUGCUCCUGAGGAGUUAAUUUGUCAUAUAUAUAUAUAUAUAUAUAUAGGGCUGGCAAAUGAGCGAGCCGGCUCGCGUUCGACUCGCGUUCGACUCGAUAUUUGGCUCGCUCGAGCUCGAUUCGAAAUUAAAUGAGCUGAGCUUGAACAAAAUAAAAGAUUCGAAAUUCAUUUCAAACCGAGCUUGAGUAUUACUUGGUUCGUUCGAAUUAGGCUCAAGAAGCUCGAAAAGCUCGACUAUAUAUAUAUAGUAGAGCUACUAUGCUAUCGAAAAUAUAAAAAUAUAGUGCUUUCGAUUUUUUGAUUCUUAGAUCAAUCCCUUUAAUCGUUUCUUAUCUUUGGAUUAAUAUUAUUAUUACCUUGUAGGGACCACUCAAUCCUAAGAGUAUCAUUUAAUCCUAAGGGAGACCGCAAUCAUCCCAGCCAUACAAUUUUUAAUCAAAGGAUCAAAAAUUCAAAAACAUCAAAUCCUCUAUAUUUUCGAUAGCAUAGUAGUUCUACACUAUAUAUAUAUUAAAAAAUAUAUAAAUAUAAUAUAUUUUAAUUAUACAUAGGUUGAGUGAAUAAUUUAAGUUUAGUUAAAAUUAGGCUAAUAUUGUUGGCUCAUAAAAACAAAUCCAAUAGACAAAUAAAAGAAUAAAAUUUUACUAAAUUUAUAUAUUUUUUCUUUCUUUAUUUCUUUCUUUCUUUUUUUUCACAGAGCUCUAAAUUUUUAAUUUGUUUUUCUCUUUUUCUUUUUCUGUCUCUCACCCUAAGUUGCCAAGCCGGAAGUCCUCUAAGUUACCAAGUAACAUCAUAUGCCCGCCGUUGCCUACCUUGCUAUUAAUUGUAUGCUUGAGAAAAUAUACAGAAUAUUUUUAAAGUAAAAAAUUAUUAUUCAUAUAAAAUUUUAAUUUUAGUUAUAUAUGAUUGGAUAGUUUAAUUCAAUAUUUAUCUAUAUAAUUUAUUUAUUUUUCACUACAUAAAUAAAAAUGAAUAAUAUAGAGAUUGAAGACGGAAGAAAAGACAUGUGAGGCUGAAAAAAUUAAAUAUUCAACUCAUAAAUUAUUUUUUUCAUAUUAUAAUACUAUAUUUCAUAUAAUUAUUUUGUACGUUGAACUAUUAGACAUAUUUUUGUAUCAAAUUAUAGAUAAUGUUCUAUAUAAAUUAAACUAUUGAUCGUAUAAUGUUGAGAAUUUCAAGCGGCUCAUUUAGGGCUCGAGCUCGCUCAACUUGAAAUUAGGCUCGCUCGAGCUCGGCUCGAAUUAAUUUCAAUCCAAGCUUGAGCUUAAAUUUAGACUCGAAAUUAAUUUCAAGCCGAAUUUGAGCCGAGAUAAGCUCGCUCGAGCUCGGCUCGUUUCCACCCCUAUAUAUAUAUAAUUGAGCUCCUAUGCUUUUAAAAGUACCAAGUCAUUAGUGCUUGUAAGUUUUCGACCUUUGGAUUAAGGAAUGUGCGGUUAGGAUGAUGUUGGCCUCCUAGGGUUGAGUGAGUGGUUGGUUGAAUAGUAUAAUCUAACGGAUAAAAAUGAUGAAAGGCAUAGAUCUAACGGUAAAAAAUUUAGAAACACCAAAUGCUUGGUGCUUUUACAAGCACCAUAGCCGAACUCUAUAUAGAGUAUUGGACCCUUCGUACUCAUAAGUUAUUUUCGAUAAUAGAGCUUCUGAAUCAACGAUCCACUCCGUUAAAUAUGAUCUAGAGUAUUUGAAACUUCUAGAAAAUAAAUUUUGUAACUUUUCGAAAUCAUAAUAAAGUCCAUCAAGCGAGCAUAAAAUGAACGGUCAAAAUCGAACGAUGUCUUAAAAAUGGAUAAUCAGAUCCUUCAAUUUAAGAUCGGAGUUAUUGAUCUUUAUCUAGGUAGUGAAUAGAAUUUUCUAUCAAAAAUUCAACCUAUUCGGAUUCUUUUGCACCGUUAAACUAGCAAGUAUUCCAUACCGGCCGUUAAAAAUUGUCAAUUUUGUGAGCUUUUGAUUGUAAGGUAAAUGAUGUCGAAAAAUUAUGAAAUUUGAUUUCUAGAUGUUUCAAAUGCUCUAGAUAACGUUUAACGGUGUGGAUUGUCGAUUCGGAAGCUCUAUCAUCGAAAACAACUUAUGAUACAGCGAUGUCUAAUAAUAGUAUAUUAUGUACCGCUAUAUAACUGAUAUAUAUAUAAUAUAUAUAUAUAAUAUAUAUUAAUAUAUAUAUAUAUAUAAUAUAUAUAUAUCUAAUAUAUAAAUAUAAUAUAAUAUUGAACUAGAAUACUCCUUAGAGCACCAACCUUUCUGCCUCUAUAAUCUACUCUUAAAUUACUAAUACCCAUGGAUUCAAACACAUAUAGCUACACGACCAAACCUACCCCAUAUUCAACCUACAUCUCUCUAUCCCACAUGUUAAAAUUUAAGACACAACCCUUGGUGCUUUUGAAAUAUUCUACUAACUCUAUAUACUAUAUAUUAUAUUAUAAUAUAUUAUAUAUAUAGAUUGAGGCUAGAAUUAUCUCCGGAUCGUAAACACGCCCGUUUACUAUCGAGUUGUUUUCGAUGAUAGAGCUUUCCAAUUAGAAAUCGGUCCGAUAAUAGAACAUGAUUUAUGUCCACUUGAAGUGUUUAGAAUACAAUUUCAAAUCUUUUCAACUCAAAUUUGCCCUAAUGAUCAAAGGGUUUCAAAAUUUGUAAUUUUAAUGGGAUAUAGAGCGUUUUCUGUGUUAAACGGGUAAAGAAUUAUCACUAUCAAUUGAAUAUUUUGUUAGAAUUUUUAAACUAUUUAAACAAAUACAUACUCGACUGAUUACAUAACUCUAAACAAUGACAUUUUUUAAAGAAUAUUCAUUUUCAGCCAUUCAUUUUUCUGUUCACUAGAUGGAUAAAAAACAAUAUCGAAAAUGCGUGAAAUUUGAUUUCUAGGUAGUUUAAAUGGUUUAGAUCAUAUUUAACGGAGCCGAUCGUUAAUUUGGAAGCUCUAUCAUCGAAAAUAACUCGAUAGUAAACAGGCUCGUUUACUAUCGAGAGUAUUCUAGCUCAUAUAUAUAUAUAUAUAUAUAUAUAUAUAUAUAUAUAUAUAGUCAUGAAAUGUAAUGAAUUUGUCUCGUCCCCACUAAUUUAUUAUGUUGCCACCAAUUAACGUUGGUUGGCAAUCUACCUAUUUUGGAGGGUCUUGCAAUUCCUUGCCAGAUCUGUCUCUUGAGAGUGAGCGCAUGUUUGCACGUGUGUGUGCAUCCGUGCAUUGUAUAUUUUUGAGAUCUAGAGAGAGAAACCACUAUGCUCUAGUCUUUUUACUUUGGUUGCUAAAGAUCAGAGAUUCGAUUUCUCUGUGUUUAUUAAGUGGGGGUGUUUGACCUCAUUGCUUAGCUCUUUUUCUUUUUUUUUUUAAAGAAAAAGCUAUAGUGACCGUACAGUGGGAGGUUCUUGGAUGCGGAUUACAAAGAAAACAAGAAAUUACAAAGAUGCAAGAUUUACGUGAUUUGGCCAACCUUGAGUUGACCUACGUUCACAGCCAAGACCACCUCAAUGCUUUCUUUGAUUAUUUCAUGGCACAAAAGUACAAAGGAGUAUAUGGGGAUUACAAGAAACUCUCUCUCAGGAGCUCUCCACGUUUUCCUCUCAACUAGGGUAUUUUCAAUGAAGCUCAUAAUCUAAAAGAUUAAUUAUAAAGGUUUAUAUAACCCUAAAAUCCUAAUUCUAGUAUGAAAUAAUUUUCGCCUUCCAUUCAAGUAUGAUUCAUAUGUAGUCAUCAAUAUCUUUUUAGGAAUACUCUUUAAAUUGAUUCUGAACUAUUUCUAAUCUUUUGGAACAAAAUUAAAUCUAAUUAGAGUCAAACUCUCAUAUCGACUCGAAACAUGGCUUUAUAUAAUCCAACAAUUUGCAACAGAUGAGACUUUAUUUAAUAGUCCGGUUUAAAUAGUUGCUUGGCUCUACCCUAUUUAUAUUAGAUUAGACCAGUGACUAAUUUAUUAGGUAGUAUUUGUUUGGUAACAUGNAAAAAAAAAAAAAAAGAAAAAAGAGAGAGAGAGAGAGAGUACAGUGAUUUAAAAGCAUUAUUAUUAUUAUUAUUUGUACUAUUACUAUUCAGUUGUCUUAAGUAGGCAUACCUGCAUUUUUAUACAGCUUUUCAGAAAAGUGAGGGGCCCUCCCCUGUCCACCCUCUGCCUUCAGCAGUAAACAGUACACAACAUAAGACUAUUUUCUGGAAAUCUUCACAGUGCCAAAAUCCAUGUGCCUUAGCUGAUUGAUUGCAUAUGUAGCUCCAAUACUGGGGAGAACGAAAAUCUUUGAAAUGUCCAAUCCUUUUUUUUUUUUUUUUUUUUUUUUUUUUUUUUUCAUCUAACAGUUGCGUCGGGUGAAUAAAUGGUAUCACAUCUAAGGUAGCUUUUGCUUCUUUUUUUUGAGGAUUAAUUUAAUAUAGAUUCUGGAAAUAUAGUGAAUGACAAAUAACAAUUAUAUUCUUAUAAAUUUUAACUUUUAUAUGUUGUCUUUAACGAAAAGUCCUGAUAUUUCAAAUAUGUUCCUCUUCAUUAUAAUCUGUUAGAAAAAAUUUAGUUAACCAUAUGUUUAAAUACCUAAUCCUAUUUAAUUUUGGACAUUUUUAUCUCUUUUUAUUAUAACUGUUAUGGUUUUUAGAGGGAUAUAUUUGUGAUGGCACAAAUUAAAAUAUAAACAGUUUUCUAACAGUUAAAAAACUAGCCAGGUCAGUUCAAGGCUAGGGCUUCCAGGUUCAUUUUGUCCCAUUAUAUUAGUGCCAAACUAUAAAAUAGAGGAUGAAAUUAAUCAUGUUUUUCUUUAAAAACUUAAUGAGAAACGAAAGUUCCAAAUGUUGUUCCAAUUACUGUUUGGUCAGCUGGUUAUGUCCAGUCAAACUGAUAUAGUGAUGCCACUAUGUUACACAUGUUGGAUACUUCUUUCAAAACACUUUAACAUAAGACUCAGGGAAAAAAAAGAACAAAAAUUCUACUGACUGUGAGCCAAUUUGGCUCGUAGGUUUUACACCACCACGUUGUGGGUGAAAACUGACUUUCCAAAAGCAAAAAGUUGUUCUUCUCCAUUCUGCGGUCCCACCGCAACUAUCACAAUGUGCUUUGAUGGCAACAAAUCCACACAAUGUGAAAAUAUACCCUUCAGAGAACUUCCCCCAUGCAUCCCACCUGAUUGUGGAAAGCAGCUCUCGGCGCAACCGGUCAACUGGGGCCUUAGGAAUCAUAGGUUUGAAACCAGGAUUAAAGGUGUGCUAUCGACACGGGUCCAUAUCCGACCGUGCCGUAUCGUCGCAGCAAGAGAUCGGCACGAACAGCCCCCCUGUGCAAUGGCACAACUCAACACCUCCGUAUUCUGCAAUUAGUAAGUAAUUUUCUCAAACAAAGUUCAAAAAAUUUGAUAAUAAUAUAUAAUGAAAUAAUACAUAUUUUGUUUGCUAAGAAAAAUAAAUAGUUGUUCAUACUCAAUUACGUGUCACACAACAAAUUUUUGACCGGCAUGCAUCGGCAACUGCCCCUGCACGGCACCGGUGCUGUACCAUGCCGGCAAGUGUCCGGCACGAUCGCCUUGUCACGACACUUUAAUCCUUGGUUGAAACUUCUGGAUUAUAGGUUGCAAAGUUCAGCGAGUGGUGCCAACUAACAAAGGAAUCACAAUAAAUAAAGUACCAAUUAAAGAUAAGAGAUAGAAGUCAAUUUUUUCGUACAAUACAGGGGGUUGUAUUAGGGUAACUAAAGGCUUUCUUGUUUAGUUAUAAUCUUAACUCUCCUAAGUCUGAACUAGGANNNNNNNNNNNNNNNNNNNNNNNNNAAAAAACGACCCACUUCAAAAAGAAGAAUUAAGCGCAAGACUACAGCUACGUCGAGUAUAUAAGGGAGGAAUGAAAAGAGACCCUUUAUUACUCACCACAAUAGCACCAUUGGAUGUCGGGGAGACUAAUAAGGGAGGCGAUAUACAUCCUGUACCCUCUAUGCCCAAUUCCCAUUUAUAUACCACAAAGACGGUUCAACCUUUUUAACCUAUCUCUCAGAGCGAAGUGGAGAUUAUACUAAUAUCCUGCGGGAAUUGAAGUACUCUCAAUUAAAUUCAAGAGGUAAACUGUACUAUAUAUUAUUCGCAACUAGAUGACUUACACUCAAUACCUUCAUUUACUAUAUAUAUCUACAACCACUUUUUCUUAUCCCAUAUUAUCUAUCGCAAACGCUAUUUUUUUUUAAUUCCCGCGAAUAACCAAAUUCUAUACAAACGAUUUUUUUUAUCCCAUGGUUGUCCUAUCCGCUGUAAUACUAGUUCUUAUUAUACCCGCCAAAACGCUAUAAGUUUUUGAUUGUUAGAUCUAUACUUUUGACAUUUCCAUCCGUAAAUCACUAUUCAACUAACACCCAUUCAAUCAUAGGGACCAGUAUUUCCUUAAUUGCACAUCCAACGGUUCGAAAAUUUAGUGAGUUUAAUAGAGUCUAUACUCAUAAGAGUAUUAUAGCCUUAGCUUAUAUAUAUAGAAUUAGGUCUACUAUACUAUUUAUAGUAAUCAACUGCUGUUAUAGGUUUCGGCCCUUGAAUGAAGGAUGUUGGUGGUCGGAUGAUAGCUAGGGUAGAUGAGGGGUGGCAAGUUGAAUUGCUAGACUUACGGAUGAAAAAUAGCCAAAAGGAUAGAUCAAAUAGCAAAACUCGAUAGAACAAACACUUGUACUAUCAAUAGUAUGAGCGCGGACUCUCUAUAUUAGGGUAGAUCUAACGACAAAAAACUCUAUAGCACAAAAUGAUCGGUACUAUAGAUAGUAAUAAUAGCCGACUAUAUAUAUUAGAGAGAGAUAGAGUCCGGCUACUAUAUUAUCGAUAGUACAAAUGCAUAGCUGCAAUCGAAUUUUGUAAGCCGUUAGAUCUACAUUUUGACCAUUUCUACCCGACUCUAGAGAUCAUCUAUCAUUCUAACCGCACAUCCUCUUCAUCCAAGAACGAAAACUAAUAGCAAGUGAAUUGGUACUUAUAUAUAUAUAGUAUAUAUCCGUGCUAUACUAUCAAUAGCAGCAGAUUUCCGUGCAUGCCCAAGUUGUUUUCGAUGAUGCGGCUUCGUCAAAUCGCUGAUCGCUCCGUUAGACUUGAUCUACACUAUUGAAAGUAUUUGGAAACUAAAUUUCAGAAUUUUCGACAUCAUUUGGCUAGUGAUAAAAGGUCUCAAAAUUUAACAAUUUAAUGGUAGAUGGUGAUGCAUUUGUAAAUUUAACGAUGUAAAACAAUCCAAAUCAAAUGAAAUUUUUAUAGAAAAUCUUUUUACUAUUAUAGAGUAGAUCAGUACCUCUGAUCUUAGAAUUCAAGUCUCUAUCAUCAUUUUUUUAUUAGAUUUUUAUAUUUAAGCCAUUCAUUUUAGACUACUCGUUUGAUAGGUAAAUGAUACCGAAAAAUUAUGAAAUUUAGUUUCAAUACUUUCAUAGUGUAAUCAAGUCUAACGGAGCCGAUCGUCGAUUUGGAAGCGCAUCAUUGAAAACAACUUGGUAGUCAUGAAGGCGUCCGUGCUACCGAUAGUAUAGCAGCCAGCUCUAUAUAUAUAUAUAUAUAUAUAUUAUGGAGAGAGAGAGAGAGAGAGGAGAGAGAGAGAGACUAGGCUCUCCUAUGCUUUCGAAACUGUACAGGAGCCUCCGUACUUGUAAGUUUGUUUUUCGAUGAUGGGACGUCCGAUUGGCGAUCGGUUCCGUUAGACAUAUCUACACUUUGGAACUAUCUAAAAACCAAUUUUCAUAUUUUUUUGACUUCGUUUGCCUAGUGAACGGUAGCCUCAAAAUGAACGGCUGAAAAUAAAAAAUCUCAUAAAAAAUAAUGAUAAAGGACUCAAAUUCAAAUCGAAAGUAUUGAUCUUGCUAUUGACGUUUAUGUAGAAUUUUCUAUUAAAUUUUCAUAUAAUUGGAUACUUCUACAUCGUUGAACUUAAAAACGUACCGCAUCGGCCGUUAAAAUAGUCAUUUUUUGGAGCAUUUGAUCGCUUAGUAAAUGUGUCAAAAAUUCAUAAAAUUUGGUUCCUAGAUAGUUCCAAUAUGGUAGAUUAUACCUAACGAGCCGAUCGUUGAAUCGAUGUCCUAUUAUGCGAAAACACUUACAAGUACGGAGGUUUCGGUACUUUCGAAGUAUAGUAGACGUCCAAUAUAUAUAUAUAUAGUAUAGUAUAUAUAUAUAUAACAUAUAUAUGUAUAUAUAUAAUCAUAUAUUAUAUAUAUAUAUACAUAUGAUAUGUAAUAUUAUAUACAUAUAUAUGUAUAAUAUAUCAUAUAUUAUAUAUAUAUACAUAUAUUAUAUAUAUAUAUACAUAUAUAUAUAUAUUAAGCUCCUAUGCUUUUAAAAGUACCAAGACAUUGGUGCUUAUAAGUUUUUAGCCUUUAGAUUAAAAAUAUAUGGUUAGGAUAAUGUGGGCCCCCUUAGGGUUGAGUGGUGGGUUGGUUGAAUAGUAUAAUCGAACGGUGUAAAUGAUACAUGCUGAUCUAACGGUUAAAAACCUACAAAGCACAAUGUGAUUGGUGCUUUACAAGCACCAUAGGCCGGACUAUAUAUAUAUAUAAUAAAUAUAUAUAUAGUAAUAUAUAUAUAUAUAUAUAUAUAUAUAUAUAUAUAUAUAUAUAUAUAUAUAUAUAUAUAUAUAUAGUCCGUUACUAUAACUGUGAUCAGUAGUAUCAAGCCCUUGGUACUAUUAAGUCUUCUGCCGUUAGAUCUACCCUUUGAUCAUUUCCACCCGUUAGAUUAUACUAUUAAACCAACCACCCACUCAACCCUAGGGGACCACUAUCAAUUUAACCGGGGACCACUAUCAUCCUAACCGCACAUCCUUUCAUCCAACGGCCGAAAACUCAAUAGUACCAAGGGCUUGGUACUAUUGAUAGUAUAGUUGCAUAAUUCUAUAUAUAUAUAUAUAUAUAUAUAUAUAUAUAUCGAGCUUUUCGAGCUUAAUUUGAGCGAGCCCGGUAAUACUCAAGCUUGGCUUGAAAUUAAUUUCGAGCCUAAAUUUAGGCUCAAGCUUGGCUCGAAAUUAAUUCGAGCGGAGCUCGAGCGAGCAGAAUAUCGAGCCGAACGCGAGUCGAACACGAGCUCAAAACUUCAGAAAUAUCUCAUUUAUCCCCUUUUUUUUUUUCUUUCCAAUAUACCCCUUAUAUAUUCCUCCGUUAUUUCAAAAUACCCUUACAGUUACCACCCAUUAAGUUAACUUGGGUUAAACGUAAGUUAAAUAUCUAACACAGUUAAAAAAAAAUUAAAAUGUCAAUUUUGCCCUUAACUUAAGGGUAAAUAAGAAAUCUUGGUGACGGUAGAGAGGUAUAUUUGAAAAAAUCAAAAGUCAAAAUACUUUUUGUGCUCCUGACUUAAAGGGCAAAUAAGAAAAGUCGGUAAUGAUGGAAGGAUAUAUUUGAAUGGGUAAAACAUAAAUUUUAUAUAGAUAAAAUAGUUCAUUAAUAAAUUUUAACUAUAGGGGUAUAUUUGAAAUAGGUAAUAAAUUUUAACUAUAGGGGUAUAUUUGAAAUAGGUUGUAACGUAAAAAAAAUAUUUUCAAUAUUAGCCUUCCAUCAUUAUUAAAUCAGAAUUUUCAAUAUUAGCCUUCUAAGAGAAGUAAAUCAGAAUCGAAAAUUUUUCAGGAGUAUAUAAGCAAUUGCNGAAUGACAAAUAACAAUUAUAUUCUUAUAAAUUUUAACUUUUAUAUGUUGUCUUUACGAAAGUCCUGAUAUUUUCAAAUAUGUUCCUGUCAUUAUAAUCUGUUAGAAAAAUUUAGUUAACCAUAUGUUAAAUACCUAAUCCUAGUUAAUUUUGGACAUUUUUAUCUCUUUUUAUUAUACUGUUAUGGUUUUUUAGAGGGAUAUAUUUGUGAUGGCAAAAUUAAAAAUAUAAACAGUUUUCUAACAGUAACAAACUAGAGGAAUAUAUUUGAAAACAUCAGAAUUUUGAAAGGACAAUAUAUGAAAGUUGAACUUUGUAGAAAUAUAUUUGUCAUUCACUAUUUUUGUAGGAACCUGUAUGAAAUUAAUCCCUUUUUUUAUAUCCAUGAUACGACACGGUGGUCUUAUAUAAGUAGAUAUCGCUUUAUUACAAUUGAUAUGACCUUUUCACUAUGAAAUAAUUAAAAGGGAUAAUUGCCUAUAUACCCUCAAAACUUCAGAAAUAUCUCAUUUAUCCCUACUUUUUUUUUUCUUUCCAAUAUACCCCUCAUAUAUUCCUCCGUUAUUUCUAGACCUGGCAAACGGGCUGGUUGGGUAACCCGCAGGCGGGUUAUUGUACCUGCGGGUUAUUUGGGCAUGGGUAAAAUUUACCCGUAAAUUUUUGGGUAGCCAACAUCUUUACUCAUACCCGCCCGCGAAUGGGCGGGUGGGUAUGCAGGUUACCCACAAAUUUUUUUUUUUUUUUUUUGCUCUUAUAUUUUUUAAAUACAAAACACAUAGAUAUAAGUUUUAAAAGUAUAAUAUAACUCAUUGUUUAAAAUAUCAUAACAUACAAUAAAAAUAUUUAAAGUCUUAAAGCAAAAAUAAUUUAUAAUAUUAAAGACAUGCAAUAAAAAAUUAGGAUUAAAAUUUUUAGGAUGGAUAAAUAAAAAAUAUAUAUUAAUUAAGAAAAUAUAUUUUGUAAUUAAAAAAUAUAUGUGCGGGUACCCGUGGGUACCCGCGGGUUAUCCAAAAUGCCCACUGCUUAAUGGGUACCCACCCCUUUUACCCGUAAUUUUUUGGGUUGGAAAAAUUGAUACCCAUACCCGCAAAUUUGUGGGUAACCCGUGGGUACCCGCGGGUUUGGGUCAAGAUUGCCAGGUCUAGUUAUUUCAAAAUACCUUUACAGUUAUCACCCAUUAAGAUAACUUGGGUUAAACAUGAGUUAAAUAUCUAACACAGUUAAAAAAAAUUAAAAUGUUAAUUUUGCCCUUAACUUAAGAACAAAUAAGAAAUGUUGGUGACGGUAGAGGGGUAUAUUUGAAAAAACCAAAAGUCAAAAUGCUUUUUGUGCUCCUAACUUAAGGGCAAAUAAGAAAAGUCGGUGAUGGUAGAAGGGUAUAUUUGAAAGGGUAAAAUAUAAACUUUAUAUAGAUAAAAUAGUUCAUUAAUAAAUUUUAACUAUAGGGGCAUAUUUGAAAUAGGUUGUAACGUAAAAAGGAUAUUUUCAAUAUUAGCCUUCUAAGAGAGGUAAACCAGAAUCGAAAACUUUUCAGGAGUAUAUAAGCAAUUGCCUCUAAUUAAAAACUAGAUGUUUAGGACCUAGCAACAACAAAAUAUGAAAAUUAGGAACCCAAAGGGAGUAUUAAAAAGAAAAAAAGAAAAAGUAGAGACCAAAAUUAAUCAAAAAGGUGACGAUUAGUAAGGGGUGGAAACGAGCCGAGCUCGAGCGAGCUUACCUCAGCUCAAGCUUGGCUUGAAAUUAAUUUCGAGCCUAAAGUUAGGUUCAAGCUCGGCUUGAAAUUAAUUCGAGCCGAGCUCAAGCAAGCCUAACUUCGAAUUGAGCGAGCUUGAGCCCUAAACGAGCCGCUUGAAAUUCUUAAUAUCGUGCAAUCUACAGUUUAAUUUUUAUAAAAAUUAUCUAAAAUUCGAUACAAAAAAAACCUAAUAGUCCAAUAUACAAAAUGAAUGCAUGAAAUACGAUAUUAUAAUGUUAAAAAAAAAUUAGGAAAAGUGACUCUGUGAGCGAGUGAAAAAGAGAGACAGAGAGCAAUUAUAGUAGGAUUUUGCUAGUUUAGUUUUGUCCGCCCAAGAAUCUAAAUUCUAUAUACAUAUAAUUAAAAUACAUAAUAUAUAUUAUUUUAUAUAAUUAAAAUAUAUAUUACAUAUAAUUAUAUAUAGAGAGAGUUCGGUUACUAUACUGUUAUUAGUAUAGACCCCUUUAUACUCAUGUGACAGCACCGUUUGGAUCGGGGAUAAGGGGAGGGAUAACCUCUUAUCCCCCCCUUUAUACCCAAACGUAAAUUUUUUACGCGAGAAUAAUAGUUCUCAUGUACCUUAAAUAAGCUGGUAUAACUAUCCCCACCAACACCUUCAUUUUCUAUAUAUAACUACCCACUAUUUUUCUUAUCCCAUAUUAUCUAUCCAAACGCUAUUUUUUUUUAUUCCCGCGAAUAACCAAAUUUUCAUCCAAACGCUAUUUUUUUUAUCCCCAUGCUUGUACCUAUCCCUGUAAUAGCUAGUUCUUACUUAUACCCGAACCAAACGCUAUAAGUUUUUGAUUGUUAGAUCUAUACUUUUGACCAUUUCCAUCCGUAAAUCAUACUAUUCAACUAACCACCCAUUCAAUCAUAGGGGACCAGUAUCAUCCUAAUUGCACAUCCAACGGUCGAAAAUUUAUGAGUAUAAUAGAGUCUAUACUCAUAAGAGUAUUAUAGCCUUAGCUUAUAUAUAUAGAAUUAGGCUACUAUACUAUUAAUAGUAUCAACUGCUUGUUAUUAGGUUUCGGCCCUUGAAUGAAGGGAUGUGUGGUCAGGAUGAUAGCUAGGGUUGAGGAGGUGGCAAGUUGAAUUGCAUGAUCUUACGGAUGAAAAUAGCCAAAAGGAUAGAUCUAAUAGCAGAAAACUCGAUAGAACCAAACACUUGGUACUAUCAAUAGUAUAGGAGCCGGACUCUCUAUAUUUAGGUAGAUCUAACGACAAAAAACUCUAUAGCACAAAAUGAUCGGUACUAUAGAUAGUAUAAUAGCCGGACUAUAUAUAUAGAGAGAGAUAGAGUCCGGCUACUAUAUUAUCGAUAGUACCAAAUGCAUAGUGCUAUCGAAUUUUGUACCGUUAGAUCUACAUCUUUGACCAUUUCUACCCGACUCUAGGAGAUCACUAUCAUUCUAACCGCACAUCCCUUCAUCCAAGAACCGAAAACCUAAUAGCAAGUGAUUGGUACUAUAUAUAUAUAUAUAUAUAGUCCGGCUGCUAUACUAUCAAUAGCACGGAGGCUUCCGUGCUACCAAGUUGUUUUCGAUGAUGCGGCUUCCAAAUCGAUGAUCGGCUCCGUUAGACUUGAUCUACACUAUUGAAAGUAUUUGGAAACUAAAUUUCAGAAUUUUUCGACAUCAUUUGGCUAGUGAUCAAAAGGUCUCAAAAUUAACAAUUUUAAUGGUAGAUGUGAUGCAUUUGUAAAUUUAACGAUGUAAAACAAUCCAAAUCAAAUGAAAUUUUUAUAGAAAAUUCUUUUUACUAUUUAGAGUAAGAUCAGUACCUCUGAUCUUAAAUUCAAGUCUUCUAUCAUCAUUUUUUAUUAGAUUUUUAUUUUCAGCCAUUCAUUUUUAGACUACUCGUUUGAUAGGUAAAUGAUACCGAAAAAUUAUGAAAUUUAGUUUCCAAAUACUUUCAAUAGUGUAGAUCAAGUCUAACGGAGCCGAUCGUCGAUUUGGAAGCGGCAUCAUUGAAAACAACUUGGUAGCAUGAAGGCGUCCGUGCUACCGAUAGUAUAGCAGCCUAGCUCUAUAUAUAUAUAUAUAUAUAUAUAUAUAGAGAGAGAGAGAGAGAGAGAGAGAGAGAGAGAGCUAGGCUCCUAUGCUUUCGAAAGUACAGGAGCCUCCGUACUUGUAAGUUGUUUUCGAUGAUGGGACGUCCGAUUGGGCGAUCGGUUCCGUUAGACAUGAUCUACACUAUUGGAACUAUCUAAAAACCAAAUUUCAUAAUUUUUUGACUUCGUUUGCCUAGUGAACGAGUAGCCUCAAAAUGAACGGCUGAAAAUAAAAAUCUCAUAAAAAAUAAUGAUAAAGGACUCAAAUUUCAAAUCGAAAGUAUUGAUCUUGCUAUUGACGUUAUGUAGAAUUUUCUAUUAAAUUUUCAUAUAAUUUGGAUACUUCUACAUCGUUGAACUUAAAAACGUACCGCAUCGGCCGUUAAAAUAGUCAUUUUUGGGACAUUUUGAUCGCUUAGUAAAUGUGUCAAAAAAUUAUAAAAUUUGGUUCCUAGAUAGUUCCAAUAUGGUAGAUUAUACCUAACGGAGCCGAUCGUUGAAUCGGAUGUCCUAUUAUCGAAAACAACUUACAAGUACGGAGGUUUCGGUACUUUCGAAAGUAUAGUAGACGUCCAUAUAUAUAUAUAUAUACAUAUAUAUAUAUAAUUAAGCUCCUAUGCUUUUAAAAGUACCAAGACAUUGGUGCUUAUAAGUUUUUAGCCUUUAGAUUAAAAAAUAUAUGGUUAGGAUAAUGUGGGCCCCCUAGGGUUGAGUGGGUGGUUGGUUGAAUAGUAUAAUCUAACGGGUGUAAAUGAUCAACAGUGCUGAUCUAACGGUUAAAAACCUACAAGCACAAUGUGAUUGGUGCUUUUACAAGCACCAUAGCCGGACUAUAUAUAUAUAUAUAUN